This 56073-nucleotide long non-coding RNA is filed under the name Gossypium barbadense (sea-island cotton). Its description in RNAcentral is "long non-coding RNA (GBAR_LNC014012)". The record is from RNAcentral. Lineage: Eukaryota; Viridiplantae; Streptophyta; Magnoliopsida; Malvales; Malvaceae.
ACUUAUACUUGUAAACUGGAGAUGGUGGGGGUGGAGACUUGUACUUGUAAGGGUGCUUGGGUGGUGAUGGUGGUGGUGGUGGGGACUUGUACUUGUAAGGAUGCUUGGGUGGUGAUGGUGGUGGAGGUGGAGGAGACUUGUACUUGUAAGGAUGCUUGGGUGGUGAUGGUGGAGGAGGUGGUGGAGACUUAUAGUUGUAAACAGGAGUUGGUGGGGGAGGAGAUUUGUACUUGUAAGGCUUCUUGUGUGGUGGUGGUGGUGGAGAGUAGACCGGAGGAGGCGGUGGUGGAGACUUGUAAUGGUAAGGUGGUGGUGGGUACUUCUUAGGUGGUGGUGGAGGAGAAGAAUAAGUGUAAUCUGCUGAGGUUUCAAAAGGCAAAUUGAGAGACACUGCUAAAACUAAAAGAGUGAGAAAGAGAGAGGUCAUUGAUGACCCCAUUUUCCCCAUCCUUACUUCUAAAAAUGGGUUUAAUUUGGUUAUGCUCUUAGCAGCCCUCUUCACUCCCUUUAUAUAGACUUUGUUUUAAAGUUACAAUCAUGAUAAAAGUGUGAAGGUGGACCGAACCUUCAGCAGCAUUGAAAAAAGACGUUACGUUUAGGUUAUUAGCAUGGUAUGACAUAAUAAUUCUCUAUUCUCUUCCUUGUCGUUUCCCAUAAAUUUAAUUUAAAUAGUCCAUUUGCUAUAUUUAUAUUUCUGUUUCUCUAUUAAAUAUUUAUCAAAUUCAUUUCUCACUCCUUAUAGAAUAUGAAUAAUUAAUCAUUAAACUCGAUUUAGUAAAUACUUUAAAAAAUGAUUUAUCUUAUUUUUAUGCUUUAAUUAAGGCAUCAAAUCAUUAAUCCCAUUUGAUAUUAUGAAAAUUUAUCACUUAAUUGAUCAAAAUGUGAUUCUUGGCAGGAAAACAUAAUUUACUUUCCUUAAAAUGUAAUUUUUAUUGAGAGUUAUUUUUCCACUAACAAUAGAAAGUGAUUCUCUUUAUAAUUCGUGAAAAAAUUACUUUCACAUGUAAAUAAAAAUUGUUAGGAUAAAAUUAACUUUUCUUUUAUUUAUGUUAAGGUUACUAAUUAACUUAUUCAACUUUAAUAAAAGAUAAACAUAGUUGUAGCUUGUUUGUUGAUGUUAGUUUUUUGUCUUUACAACUUCAAACCAUUAUUCUAGUGUAAUUUUUUUUUCUUUCUAAAUAGUAGAUAAGUAUCUAUAUUUUAUUUUGCUAUAAGAAAAUUAUAUUUUUUAGCAUACAAAACUUAAGAUAACUUGUAGAAUCAAGUAGUUGUAUACCUAUUACUCUAGCAAUAAUAAUAUUGACAUUGUCUACUUUCAAAUUAAAAUUUCAAAUUAGUUCAUUGCCCAAUUUUCUCAUUAAAAAAAAUUAUAUAUAACAUGUCAACUUAACGAAACUUACAUGAAAUUUUGUAUGUGUUAAAAAUGAAAAAUAUGGCGGUUAUUAAAAAAGAUGUCAUACAUCUAAAUCAAACUACUAAUUUAAAAAUUAGUAUUGAGAUAAUUUCAAGCCAUAUAUGCAAUAUUUGAGUAUACUUGAACUUAUACAUACAAAUUAGUGAGGAUUAAAAUUUUGUAAAUUGUACAUCUUCACAAUCUUGCGUUAAUAUACAAUUUUUUUAAUGUAUUAAUAUAAUGUUUUAGAUCAAGACGUGAAAAAACAUAAUUCAAAUAUUUGUUAAUAGUAAAAAAUUAUUAAUAAAUAUUUAAUUCAAAAUUUAUUAAUAAUAAAAAUUAUUGAAAAAUAUUAAAUACGUUAAUAUUAUUUUUAUUUAAUAAUGAUACUUUUGUACAGUAAUCUUAUAUUCCCAAAUAAGUGUUAAAUGUGUCAAGAUUUUAAUCAAUACUUUCCGGUGAUUACCAAACGUUGUGAAGUAACUUCUUAAACAAUAAUAUUCUUAUCAAUCACAUUCCAUUAAAAUUUUAACAUAGAAAAGCACCAAAACGCCCCCUUAAAAUCGUGGUAAGUCUUGUUUGUCUAAAAUUUAAAUAUUUAUUUUAUUAUUUAAAAUAUAUUAAUUUUCUAAAAAAAAUCAUUAAUAUUUAUAUUUCUAAUUUUAAACAUUCUUUUGUUAAUUAAAUGAUAGUCUAAACGGUUAAACUCAAAUCGAAAGCAUUUUAUCUUAUAUUAGAUUAUAUGAAUCAUAUUAUGGUUGAAAGUAAAAUGUAUAAAAUCAAUACAAACAUCAAAUAUUAAACUUCCACUCAAUAGAUUUUAAAAUUUCUAAUUUUAUCACUAAUCUAUUUUAAGAUUUUUUUAAAAAAAAUCGUACUUUAGAUUAUCUAAUUUAAAAUUUUAUAAAAUUAUUAAAAAAUAUUCUUGUAAUAAAAAAAAUUUGUUUUAAAAUUUUUAAUUUUUUAUAUAACCAAUGAAUUUUUUACGUUUGUUUUAACUGGUUAUCUAAACAAAAUAAAAACUUAUUUAGUUUAAAUAAAGUGGUAAAUGUGAAAGCACCACAAAUCACAACUACAUUAGUUUUAUAAUUGGAUUAAUUUAAUCACCGGCAGAGGAAAUGUGUUAGUUCUAGCUACCAACAAUUCAUUUUAAUUCCUUUAAAAAUAUUAGAAAAAACCAAUUUGAUUUUUAAUAAUAGAUCUAAUUACUUAAAGGAACAUGGGUGAUGUGCACAUGGCAUACAAGCAUAAAAAAGAACAAAAAGAUUAAGUAUCUUUGCAAAAUAUCUCUCUCUGAAAUAAAUAAAACUUAAAAAAAAACAAUUUUAUUAUCAAAAUAAAAAGAAAAUAGUGUUUUUCUUCACAAAAAAAGAAAAGAAAAGAAAUACUAGUGUUUUUAAUUAAAAUAGAGUGAUCUGGGUAGAAUCUUUUACUUAAAUACUGACAUUGACUUUAUAAGCUAUUUUUUAUCAAAAGAAGAAAGAGAAAAGCAUCCGAUUGAAGAUGUGAAUUAUUAAGUUAAAAUUAAUCAUACAUGUAAAAUAUUAUUGUGCUUUUUUCUAGCCCUCCGAAAGACAUUAUGCUUUGAUUACAACAUUCUUCCUCAGAGAUGAGGUUUGAAGAUGAACUCGGAUGCAUUUAGAUUUUUACAAGACGAAAGUAAAUUAAAGGAUGUUAGUACUUGUAUUCCGAUACGCUUAUAAUACAGAAAGCAAGUAAUAUGUGACUGUACAUAAUGGCUAUGAGGCGAGGAUAUGAUACGAGAAGAUAGAGAUGAGAGAUUGCACUUAAGGGGUUAGCACCUCUUUUCUUUUUGUGUUUGGUCCCCAAAGCAUAUCUCUUAUUGGCUGAUGUUGCAAGGCGGUCCCAUAAGUUGGGCUAAAAGUGCUUGAUAGCUAGAAUUAAUAUUGUGGUAUAACAUAUGUCACCCCUAUAUUUGAAUAAGGUUACAAAGUGACUACUUGAAGAUUUAAAAAAGCAUGGAGAUAAUUUUGUUGCGAAAAUUAAAAGUAAGAGCUAAAUUGUUUGGCUUUAUUAGAGUAUAGACUCUGUUAGUCUAUUAUCAUUUUGUUAUAUAGGCUGGAAUAUUAUUAGUAAGCAGUUAGCAGCAGUUAGUCAUACAAGUAUAAAUUCUAUUCAUGUAUUGUUCAAAGAUAAGCUAAUAAUACCAGAAGAGAUUUAACAUGUUCAUUCUACUUUUUUUUGUUAUUCUUCAUAAUACAGUUGUUAACAUGGUCUCAGUCGCCAAAUUUCUUGGAGGUUGCUUCUAUUGUAGAUCCAUGGCCAAUUCCACUGAUUCUACCUUCGCUGGUCGUAGCAGUCCCUCAUUCUCAGUUCAUGUUUGGUUCAAUCGUUUCCUCGUCAUGGCACUGUGAAGUUAGAUGAAGGAAAUUUUGUACAAUGGCAACAGCAUAUCCAAUUGAUAAUUGAAGGAUAUGAACUCAUAAGAUUUUUAGAAGGGACGUUACCUGCUCCGCCUCGCUUUGUGUCAUCUCCGGAUGGAAACUUAGCUCUGACUCCCGAUGCAUCCCUGUUUGUUCAGCAAGAUAAGUUACUCGCUUAUUGGUUACUUUUUACGAUUAGUGCUCCUUUGUUUUCUUGUUUUACAACUGCUAAGACGGCGUGUGAGGUUUGGAGCACUGCGAAUUGCCUAUUUGCUGCUGCCACUAGAGCCAAGCUUUCGCGUAUUAAGCAUGAACUCCAGUCCAUCACGAAAGGCGUGAUGACUAUCAAAGAGUAUAUUGCUAAGAUUCAAAAUACUUGUGCGUUACUCGAGGAAUCUAGAUCAGUGGUUUUAAAGGCUGAAAAGGUAGAGAUCAUUCUUGCCGGCCUAUUGUCUGAUUAUGAUGUCGUUUUAACUCUGGCAUCGUUCUCAACUGAAACUUUUUCGUUAUAAAAGAUUGUUGAUAUGCUUCUGGAGUUCGAAAGCCAUCAGACUCAAGCGGUGAACGACGUACCUUUUCAUGCUCAUUUGGUAGAGGCCACUUCGGCGACAUCCGUGGAGGACUCCGUACGUGGUGGUCGUCCUCCUUCUGGUGCUCGUAGGCGCGACUUUCGAUCUCAGCUUCAGUGCCAGGACUAUGGUUGCUAUGGACAUUUGGUACAAUGCUGUUAUUAUCAGUUCAACCGCGACUACAGUGAUCUGUCUGUUUUGACCAUGGCGCGGGUUUCGCCUGUUCAUGCUGAUCACAAUUAGCAUAACGAUGUUUUUGGCGCAAGUGGUCUCUCGACUAGCUGGUUUUCAUCAACUUGUCCUGGUCCGGACCCGUUCGUGCCUGGACAGUAUGUCGAUUCUUUGGUGGUGACACCGGCGUAUUUCUCUUAUGGCUCAUCAUGGUGAGGGUGGCCACAUUUGCAAAACAAUGCCUCCCUUGUGCCAAGUUUGUUGAAUGUUAAGGUUUCUAACCCUUUUGCUCAUAAUUUUGACGAUGGGGCAGGCUAGGUGUUUGGGCUCGCUGUUGGACCAAGCUCAAAUUGUGGCCAAUUUGGUGGUCCUCACUUACCGCGGAGAAUGGGCCAGCACGUUAGGCCAUUUGCUAGUGUUCCUAGGCCGACUGGUUCAGGCCAAGAUUUUGGGCCAUAUGGAAUUCGUAGGCUAACCAGUGCUGGUCCUAACAUUGGACAGGGUUCACUUGGGCCAAAUGUUAAUUUUGUUAGACUUGAGGGCUCUUUUGGGCAUGGACAAGGACUUUGGCCCACCACUGGCAAUGUUUCAGUGCCAAAUAAUGGGUCAUGCGUUCCAUGGCGCACUAAACUGACGGCGCACAUUAUUGAUUGAUUUCUCACUGUGUGUUGGGUUGCCUCACAUUCUUGAUUUUCAUGUGUCUGAUAUUUUUACUACCUCUGGGUCCAAUGCUAACACGACUCCGUAUGGGUCUAAUUUUGAUAAUGAUAACUCUUACAUUCCUAUGCCUGUAGGGACCUUGUCCUGGUGUCUUAAUUCAGGGUCUAUACAUCAUGUCUAUCGAGAAGCCUCUACCUUGAACGAGUCUACGCCAUACUCAGGUACAUCUCCUCUCCUCAUGGAUGAUAUUACUCCUACAAAAAUAUCAUGUGUUGGAAACUCUAUCUUGCCUACGAAGACUAAGCUGUUUCAUCUAUCUAAUGUUUUGUGUGUGCCAAAUAUACGGAAGAAUCUGCUAUCUGUCUCUCAAUUUGCUAAUGACAAUAAUAUGGUCUUUGAAUUUCACCCGUCUUAUUGAGGACAUCCAGACUCAGGAAAUUUUGCUUCGGGGCCACACUCGUGAUGGGCUCUAUUAUUUUUCGUAGGUUACUCAUGUUCCGUCUGUCGUUGUUCCUUCUGUUCACAACACUGGGCUCCAGAGUCGCAAUGCCGGUGAUGAUGUUUUUACGUUAUGGCACUACAGACUUGGUCAUCCGUCUGCCUCGAUUGUUAAACUUGUUCUCGAUAAGUGUCAAGUUGUUUCAACUAAAAUGUACCUUGAAAAUAUUUGUAUUGCUUGUCAAAAGGGGAAGUCCCAUAAACUGUCUUUUUCAAGUUCUACUACUAAAUAUACGGAUUUGUUUGAAUUGGUUGUCUUUGACUUAUGUGGACUGGCAUCUGUUGUCUGUAGAAAUAAUCUGUAUCAUGUUUCGUUUAUCGACAUGUGUAGUUAUUUUACUUGGAUUUAUCUCAUUAAACGUAAUUCUAAGGAGGUUGAAUGUUUUCUUCAGUUUCAGAAAAUGGUCAAAACUCAGUUUGGGAAAGAUAUUAAAAAAAUUCAAAGUGAUUGGGGUGGUGAGUUUCUUGCCUUUACGUCAGUUCUGGCUAGUCAUGGGAUACUUCAUCACCUCUCCUGUCCAUAUACAUCCGAGUAGAACGAUGUAGCUGAACGAAAACAUCGACACAUUGUUGAGAUGAGUCUUAUUCUAUUGGCCAAAGCUAACCUAUCCAUGGAUUUCUGUGGUUUCGUAUUUUACAAUGCCAUUCAUCUCAUUAGUCUUCUACCGACCCUAGUUCUGAAAGGUCAGUCUCCAUAUCAGGUUCUUCAUGGUAGUGACCCUACAUAUGAUCAUUUACAAGUAUUUAAGUGUUGUUGAUUUUCGUACCUGCGUCUGUUUCUGCAACACAAGUUGGAUUUUCAUUCUCAGCCAUGCAUAUUUUUUAGGUAUAGUUCUCAACAUAAAGGCUAUCACUGCCUCACACCAAAUGGUAAGGUCAUUGUCUCUCGUCAUGUUGUGUUUGAUGAACGUUGGUUUUUCUUUUCUUCAAAUGCUGUGAACACCGUUCAGUUAAGUCCAUGUAUCUCUACAUAUGUUCCUAUUGUUCGGUCUUCAUCUUGCCGCCCCACGACAUCUUCGCUUGUUCGACCCACUGAGUCAUCGACUCUUGCUCCUAAUUGUAGUUCCACGCUGUCUGUUUCAGUUGACACUCCGGCUGAAUUAGGUUUUACUCAUGAGGUGCAUCGGCUCUCUACCUCAUCCCUUGAAUCUCGUCAAUGCGAUCCAACUACAAUUCCAUUGGCUGUUCCAUCUAUUUCUCUGGAAUACUCAUAACACUAUUACUCAGCUAGACCCAAAGCUCUGUCUGUUGAAAUUGUCAACUGUGAGUCGAUCACGAUUGAAGAGGCGCUCGCUAGUAAGGAAUGGCAAUUAGUUGUCCAAGCUGAGUUUGUUGCUAUAAUGGUUAACUCCACUUGGGAGCUUGUUCCCUUACCUCAUGGUCGAAAAGUGAUUAGGUGUAAGUGGCUUUUUAAAAUAAAAAAAUCCUGAUGGGACUAUCACUUGACGUAAGGCUCGGUUGGAAGCAAAGGGUUGUUCUCAGGUACUCAGGUGUGAUUUCAAGGAAACCUUUAGUUUGGUAGUUAAACCUGCUACUAUUAGAACCAUAUUAUCUGUUGCUAUCUCCAACGGUUGGCAAUUUGGUCAGGUAGAUGUGAACAAUGCUUUUUUAAAUGGUGAUCUUAUUGACGAAGUGUUCAUGCAGCAACCUCUAGGCUAUGUUCAGAUUGGUCAAAAUGGUGAGCCCUUGGUGUAUCAUUUGACAAAGGUGUUGUACAGAUUAAGACAAGCUCCACGUGCUUGGUUUGAUAAAUUGAAACGUUUUUUUGUUUCUAUUGGAUUUGCUUUAUCCAAAUCUGAUGUAUCCUUAUUUGUUCAAGUUAAUUCGAAUCCACUAUUUAUGUUUUAGUCUAUAUGGAUGAUAUUAUCGUUACUAGAAGUACGAUCGACGGUAUAAAUGGCUGUAUUCAAUAGUUACAUAAUGUGUUUCCCUUAAAGAUAUGGGAGAUCUUUACUACUUCUUAGGCAUUGAAGUCACUCGGUAGUCCACUGGGAGUCUCCAUUUGUGCCAACGCAAAUACAUUCGGGAUCUUCUUGACAGUAGUUUUUUAGCUAAUGCAAAGAGUGUUCACACACCGAUGGUUAGUUCUUUUACGUUGUUUAAAGAUGUGGGAGAUCGCCUCGUUGAUCCUACUGGAUAUAGAAGUCUUGUCGGUGUAUUACAAUAUGUGGUCUUGACUCUGCCUGAUAUUGCUUAUGCUAUAAAUCAUGUUUGUCAAUUCAUGCAUGCCCCUACUACAGUACAUUUGGUGGCUUUGAAAAGAAUCUUGCACUAUUUAUGUGACACUAUUAAUCAUGGGUUAAUUUUGUCUGUUCAACAUAUUGUCUUUAGUUGGCUAUGCUAAUGCCAACUGGGGACUGGAUUUUGAUGAUCGUAAAUCAACAACAAGCUAUUGUUUGUAUUUUGGGUAUACACCCAUCUCUUGGUGAUCUAAGAGACAACUCUACUGCGUGAGGCGAAGUAUUUUGGCCGCACCAUGGCUGAGGUGAAGUAUCGAAGUCUAGCAACAACUACCAGUGAUGUUACUUGGUUAGUCUCUCUACUAACAAAAUUACAGAUUCAUUCUAUAGAUCCACAUACUAUUUGGCGUGACAACUCUAAUGCAGUAGCGGUCAUUGCUAAUCCGGUCUGACACUCUAAAUUUAAACAUGCCAAGCUUGAUCUAUUUUUUGUUCGCGAAAAGGUCGCUAAUGGUUCUCUCGUUGUCGGUGAGAUUCUAGCAUGUGAUUAAGUUGCUGACAUUCUCACAAAACCACUGUUCGUCUCUACUUUUGCUAGGUUUCGUAGUCUGCUUCAAUUCUUACCUCUUGAGAAGCUGGGUGAAGCCAGGUGAAUAUUAGAGUAUAGACUCUGUUAGUCUGUUACCAUUUUGUUAUUCAGGCUGGAAUAUUGUUAGUAAGCAGUUAGUCAUAGCAGUUAGUCAUACAAUUAUAAAUUCUAUUCAUGUAUUGUUCAAAGGUAAGCUAAUAAUACCAAAAGAGAUUUAAUGUGCUCAUUCUACUUUCUUUGUUAUUCUUCAUAAUACAGUUGUUAACAUGCUUGAUAUCAUCUCUUAGAGAGAACGAGGAGAGAUAAGAGUAAGAGUAUGAGCCAACUAGGGAUAAGGCUCUACCAUAAUACCUUGGAUGCAAUUAAAGUAAGAGUAAGAGCCAACUUGUUUGGCUUGAUAGCAUCCCCUUAUAGAAAAGGCUCUACCGCAUGGCAUGAGAGCAAUAAAAGUAACACUCAAUUUCUUGGGUUGAUAGCAUCUCCUUAGGGAAAAGGGUUUACCAUGUGACAUGAAAGCAAUUAAAGUAAGAGUAAGAUCCAACUUGUUUGUCUUAAUAGCAUCAUUUAAGAGAAAUAUCCCAAUCAAUUUAUUCAAAUAUGUUAAUCAAAUAAUGCAAGUUACAAUGUUCUGUCAGUUUUUCCUUUAAUUGUAACUGGGUUAAAGUUGGUAGUUGUAACUGCUACUAAUAGAAUGGAUACGGUAGAAAUGGUUGCAAGCAACAUAAGCAAAGAUGACUUUAAUGUCUUUGUAUUGACCACGUGAGAACUAUAGAAUGCAGAGAAUAGUAUGGUGAUUGGCAACAGAAUGCUACUAACCUUGAGGAUAGUAGACAGGGAUGGAUCCACGGGGGUUGGGGGCGGUCCCCCCUUGGAAUUUUUAAAAUUUUAAAUUUUAUAUAUAAAUUAUCAUGUAUUUUAAAUUUGGUGUCCACAUUGUAUAGCAUUCACCCCCCUUUUCCAAAUUGCAUUUCAUAUCAUUUGCCCUCUUAAGCCAUAAGGUUAUACUUUAUAUUAACAAAGUAUUUUCCAUUUUUUAAUUAUAUAAAUUUAAUAAUAAUAAUAAUAAUCAAAUAUUAAUAUAUGAUUGGCAUUGAAAGACUAAACAUAAAGGUCCAGUUGAGACUUUAAAGCCAAAUUCCAUAAUUAAUUAAUUGAUUUGGCCCAUACCAGUACAUAUUAGGUUAGCGAAAUUCUUGUAUUUUGAUUUGUAUGUCUUGCUAAGGAAUUAUCUUCCUUUGGUAAGGUGUUGACACUGCCAAGAGAAAAAGAAAGGAUUUUGAUGUCGAGAUUGUGAGCAUAGAGUAAAAAAAAUACAAAUUAUCUUCCUCUUAGCUCCUUAUGGAAAAAACCUCUCGGUAAAUAUUUUUGCAUAAAUUAUGUUUUUUAUUAAUUUGACUUAGUUUUUUUCUUUUUUCCUAAUACAUUGUUGUUUAAUAUAUUCUUACAAUCAUCAGGUUUUUUGACUAAAUUAUGGUCAAUAAAAACAUCGAAUCUAUUUAAAAAAAAAGAGUGUCAGAAAGCAAUAAUGAUCAACCGGUUCCUCAACCUUCCAUUAUUAGUGAAGAAAAAUCAAAUAUCGGAUCUUCCAAAGCUCUUGAACAAAAUAUCAGGUCUUCUUAAGCCCAAGCUCCUAAAUGCGGUAUGGAGUCUUCCCCAACUCCUGAACGAGAUUGUAACAAUCCAUACCCAAUUCGAUCACCAAAUCCAAGUAGAGAGCGCCGCAACUUAAACCAUAUGAAUUGAAUAAUAAAUAUUUGAAAUUUAUUAAAGUAUCGAGUUCUUGGUGUAACCCUCAGUAUAACAAUACGAAACAAUUAAAUCAAUGAUACGCCAGGAAAAAAUGUUUUUAGGCAAAACACAUGGCGGAAGCCUUACAAAAUUUUAUAAGUUUAUAUAAAAUGUAAGAUGAGUUAAUCCCAUACAACAGUUUCAAGUGCAUCGUUGGCGGUUAAAAGAACAUUCAAAAACUAUUCGGCGUAUAUGCCAAUGAGACAAUCACGUGGAACAAGAUAUAGUAGCUUAAACACAUACAUCACUUACCACGUCAUCAUAACAUAUACUAACCAUAUAAACAAACUUAUCGAGCUGCGAACUAACAAGUUCACCCAAACAUCUAGGGUUAGCGAUAACUUAUUAGAAGAGCCCGCCAAACCCUAGAGUUCGCCAAAACCUGGAGUUCACCAAAUGGCGACUCCCAUAGAAUACGCCAAACACACAACCAAAAAUAAAUACUCUACUAAUUUACUCAUUUUAUAUUCUUAGCAUAAACAACUAUGCACCAAACAGUAACUUGAUACAUUAUCUUUCGGGCGAGUUGUUACAAUUCUCCCCCAUUUAGAAACUUUUGUCCUUGAAAUUCUUACCGGUGAAUAACUGAGGAUAUUGUUCUUUCAUCGAACUCUCUCUUUCCCAAAUGGCUUCUUUUGUAUUGUGAUUUAUCUAUAAUACAUUAACCAAAGGAAUUCUUUUACUUCUCAACUCUUUUACUUCCCUUGCUAAAAUACAAACAGGUUCUUCUUCAUAGGACAAGUUUUGCUCCACUUCCAGUGCUUUGACUUGUACCACAUAAUCUGGAUUGGAUUGAUAUUUUCUUAACAUAGAUAUAUUAAACACAUUAUGUAUAUUUGAUAACUCUGGUGGCAACACCAGUUUGUAUGCCACUGGACCAACUUAUUCCAAAAUCUCAUAUGGUUCUAUGAAAUGCAGACUUAAUUUCCCUUUUUGUUCAAACCUUAUGAUCUUCUUCCAAAGAGAAAACUUCAUAAAUGCAUUGUCACCCACUUCGAAAGAGAUUAUUUUCCUUUUUAGAUCAGCAUAAGCUUUCUGGCGAUCUUAAGUUACUUUCAGAUGAUUUCUAAUGAUAAAGACUUUCUCUUCUGUUUCUCAUACUAAAUCAAGACCAACUAUUUUCCUUUUACUGAGUCUCAUCCAAUAGGUAGGAGAUCUGCACCUUCGUCUAUACAAAGCUCCAAAUGGUAACAUUCCCAGACUGUCAUAAUAACUAUUAUUAUACGCAAACUCUAGCAAAGGAAGAUAUCUUUCUCAAUUCAUUCUAAAAUCUAUAAUACAACCUCUAAACAUGUCUUCUAGAACUUGAAAUACUCUUUCAAAUUGCUCAUCGAAUUAGGGAUGAAAGGUAGUACAGAAUCAUUAUUUCGUUCCCAACGAUUCUUGCAGUUGUCUCCAAAAUCUCAAUGUAAACAUUGGGUCUCGAUCUGAAACUAUGGAUGUUGGAAUCCCAUGAGGCGUACAACUUCAGAAACGUAGAGAUUAGCCAACUUUUCCAAUAAGUAAUUUGUGCGGACAAACAAGAUAUGGGCUAACUUAGUAAGUCGAUCUACAAUUACCUAGACUGAGUACUUCUUCGAAAGGAUGAGAGGGAGAGCCAAAACAAAAUCCAUGGUGAUCUUAUCCCACUUCCACAUAGAUAUCUCUAAAAGGUACAACUUGCCUAAGGGAACCUGAUGUUCUAUUUUAAUCUGCUGACAUGUCAAACAAAUGGAAAUGUACUUUGUUAUUUCUUUCUUCAUUUCAAGUCAGUAAUACAAACUUAUCAAAUUAUGAUACAUUUUAUGUAAAACUCUCAACCCAACUCGAAAUGUCGAGUCUGGAUCUCGGGUAUUACUAUACAUAAUACUUGGCAAAAUAUCAAAAUAGUUGACAAAUACUCUUUAUAGAAAACAUUUUCUUAUUAUUUUAACCAAAAGACUAAAUAUUUAAUAACAAGAGAAAAUAUUAAAAACAAAAAAAAAUUAUUACAUCAGACUUGGUACAACUCAUUAUAGUAUAAAAUUUUGUUAAAGACAUACUCUUGGGGCAUAACCCUAAUCUAAGCCACUUUUCCACUAUAUGCAUAAUAACCCACUUCGCCACUAUCUUGGCGUACUCCUAGCAUCGUCACUCCUAAUGCAUUCUCUACCCAUACACCUGAAAACAACAACAUUUUAAGCUUAAGAUAACUUAGUGACUUUUAUCCCAAAAAUACCUUGGCGAGUACUUUAUAUUAUUUGAAGAACAUUUGUGCGCCAUCUAUCCUUCUGAACCACCUUCUUCUGAAUUAAGUGGAUACUAUUAUAGAUUCAACUUUCACUUACACGCCAACUAUCAUACUCUUAACAAACUCACUUAUUCUAGAAUAGUUGUUCACAUAUAUUAAUCACUAAUUGAUACAUUCAUAUUUGGCGAAUACUUACGCAGAUCUGAAUACCAUCAAACUACUAAUCAAAUCAUACCUUGAUCCGAUACCAUACAAACUCAUACUGAUAAUGUACUACACAAAUUAUUCAAAUGAAUUUUCCACUACUUUGUUACAGGACCCCAGAUAAUCAUCAUAACAAUAACUCAAUUUUCAUAUGAUUUCAGAAGAAGAUAUAAUACAACCCAAAUACGGCAAAUUCCAGAUAACUCAGAUUCAACAACUGCUUAACACAUACGAACUCACAUUUAUAAUUUCUUAUGUCCCACAUAACUACGACUAUGUCUAUAUUCAACACUAACAAAUAAUCAUGACGGAUACCCUUCUUAUACAUAUAUGCAUUUCUUUUCUAGAAAUCUCUUAAGACUUACUCAAUUAUAUCACAUAUCUUAUUCAACCCUUAACUUUAGACAUAUCAUAACCCUAUCAUAUCAAUAUCUAUCACAAAAAAAAUCAGGAUUUAUCCAAAACUUACCAUAAAGGUAGAUAAUCAUAUUAUAUCAGACAAACUUAACUAAAUGUGCCACAAAGGCCAAACAAAAUAUGCCUUAAAGGCUUCAUACAAAAUCACGUGUUUACUAUCCCGACGGACUAUCACAAAAGGUGUCAUGGGUUUCUCCCACAUGGACUUAUACAUAAUUUCAUGUAUUGUGAUCUGCCAUUUUGAAUCAUACGUUAUCGAAGGAUACUCCAUAAGCAUACAUACAGACAUAUCUUGCCAUGUGUCUCAGCCACAUGGCUUAAACACACAUUCAUGUACUGUGAUAUGUCAAUCCAGUCUUACUCUUAUUAGAGCCUACACCAUGAGUGUUUUCAAAUCAUAUUAAGAUGUUGUAGGUCUCAACCUCAUAGUCUUACACUUGUUUUCAUAUCGUGACCUGCCAGUCUAGUUAGCAAUAUAAUUGCCUACCAGAGGCUUCAUAGAGGAACAUUUGCUUAGAUUCACUUACCUAGAUGAUCUGUAACACCCCUUACCCGAGACCGUUGUCAGAGUCGAGCACGAGGUAUUACUUAUCUUAUCUUACUAACUCGAAGCAUAAAAACUUGUUUUAAAAAUUAAUUUCACUAUUUAUAGCAAUUUGUCCAAUCGCGCAGCAGUUACUAAAUUAAUUAUAACUCGAGAUACGGAACUUGAAAUUUAACUCCGUAAAUUUUCCCUGAAACUAGACUCAUAUAUCUUCCUACCAUAAAAAUUUUAGGAUUUUUAGUUUAUCAAAUUAGUACAGUUUAUUAGUUAAAUUCUCCCCUGUUUCACAAAUCGACUGCCCUGACCUCUUAUCACUAAAAAUAAAAUGUAUCAUUGUGGGAUUUUCGUAUAGUGCUACCGCUUGCUUCUACAGAAAAUAGACUCAAUAAGGAAUCUAUACAUAUAAACUACAACUCAUAAAUAUUUUUUUAAAAUUUUUAAUGAUUUUAUAAACUCAAAACAGGGGUCACCAAAAACUGUUCUAACCCUGUCUCACCAAAAUUCACAUAUCUUAAAAUAUAAAUUCCUUUUGCUACACCGUUAUUUUUAUGUGAAAAUAGACUCAACAAGAUUUAUGUCAUUCAAUAUUUAAUUCAUUUUAUACUAUCCUAGGUGAUUUUUCAAAGUCACGUCACUGUUGCUGCCUGAAUUCUGUUUCUUUGCAAAAUUUUACCCUUUUAUGAUUUCCAUGCAUAGUUUAUCACUUAGACUCUUAUAACAACAAACACUUCCAUACUUAACCAUUUUAGCAACCAUUCAUCAUCAAAUACUUACACAUCAUUCUUUAGCAAGAUCAUAAAUACAAACAUUUAAAAUAACUAAAUCCCUUUACAUUCCAUACUCAACAUGGUUCAACAUAAAAAUACCGAGUUGCUGUGGUUGAUAGUGUGGACGAUCUCCGACUUCUUUAGGAUCCUUGAAGUAACCUUGCAAUACUAUAAGAGAAAGAGAAAUAAAAGACGUAAGCAUAAAGCUUAGUAAGUUUACUAGCAAAUAAAUAACAAUAUUUAACUAGAUAAUUAAACUCAAGUGUCUAUAUCUCUAGUUUACUAUUUAGUUAAUCUCAUUCUAGUUCUCUUGCUUGUUUACUUAGUAUACUUGUGUGCAUAACUUACUCCUCUCUUGCUGUAUAGUUGAAUAUCAAUUGAUAAUAUAAUAAGUUAUUAACUCUUAUAACUUACCUGAACUUGCCAUUUAUGUUUUUAACUGAACUUUCCUGAACAUGAUUCGUUAUUUAGCCCGUUGAGCUACAUUGGAACAAUAAGGAUACUCGGGUCUCUUCUGAUAAUAACAUGCCAAAGCCAUGUCCCAGACAUGGUCUUACAUGGGAUGUACUCAUGUCGGUGCCCAUUCCAUAUCCCAGACAUGGUCUUACGGGGGACCUCUCAUCUCGGUGCCAAUGCCAUGUCCCAGACAUGGUCUUACAUGGGACCUCUCAUCUCGGUGCCAACGCCAUGUCCCAGACAUGGUCUUACAUGGGACCUCUCAUCUCGGUGCCAACGCCAUGUCCCAGACAUGGUCUUACAUGGGACCUCUUUACCCAAAUGUCAUGACAUUCGUAUCCAGUACCAUCCUUACUAUUCAUGACAACCGAUAUAUAUAUAUACAUACUCACUAUUCACAAGGACUCGAACGAUUAUAUACUCAUCAACCACCUUAAAACAAUGUUCAUAAACUUAUCCAUUUCAUAUAAACAAAAGCAUAUAUAUUUAUAACCAAUGCAUAGAAUCACUUAAUUUAAACAGAUUCACUGGCACUUCACCUGAUAGGCUUAUAGUUUAAUUCAGUUCACCGGCACUUAGCCUACUAGGCUUGUAGCCUGAUUCAGUUCACCGGCACUUAGCCUGCUAGACGUAUAGUCCGAUUCAAUUCACCGGCAUUUAGCCUGCUAGACGUAUAGUCUGAUUCAAUUUACCGGCACUUAGCCUGCUAGACGUAUAGUCUGAAUAAUUUUACUGGUAAUAAAUCCGAUAGUAAUUUCUCCGUUGAAAUUGAAUUAUAUUCAAUUCUGCGUAACAAACAUGCACUUAAAACAUACUUGCAUAAUUCACAACAAUAAUUUCAGUCCAAAGAGCUGUAAUUCAUAUUCGAACUAUAUAUAUAUAAAUCCAUACAUAAAAAUUCAACUCAAAAUUUAUAACCUAUAUCUUUGAACCACAUAGGUACAUGAAAUUCAAACACCAAAAUCCAGCUCAAUAACUUCAUGAUUCAACCUAACAAAUUUAUGUAUAUAACUUUUUAUCUAAUUUCAAUACAAUAACUUAUACAUGUACGUAUAUACAUAUUCGAAUCUAACAUAUACAUAUAUAAUUUCAUACUUAAAUAUAUUCAAGACUUAUUCAUGAGUAUACAUAUAUAUUACAACUCACAUGUACAUAUAUAUACACAUUCAUACCUUUAACCAAGUCCAAGGCUUUAUACAUGUAUAUGCUUAUAUAUAUAUAUUCGGACCUUAUGUUUACAUAUAUAUAUUAUAUAAAUACCUUUGAUUAAAAACAAGUAUUUAUACAUAUAUAUAUUUUCGAACAUGAUACAUAUAUAUUUAUAUCAUUCAUACUUAAACAAAAUUCAAUCCAUAUACUUUCAAUUUCAGCUCACCAAAUUACUAUAGAUAUACAUGCAUAUAUACUGAUUUAAUAACCUCAAAUUGCUAAUAGACUUACCUCGGAUAUCAGCGGACACGAUCGAGUAUUCGAUUACUUUCGUUUUUCCCCGAUCCAAAUUCGUUUUCUUCGUUUUUUAUCUUAAUUAGACCUAGAGAUAGCCGAACCUUGUUGUUCUCUUUUCUUUUCUUUUCUUUUUCUUUUCUAUAUUCGGCCAAGAUGAAGAACAUGGCAUUUAAAAUUUGUUAUAUUAAACAUAUAUUAGCCUUAUUUUUAAUUUACUAUAUUAACCUUUACAUAUAUAUAACAUAUAUAAUAAGGUUACAUUAGUCCUUUGCCACCCACUAACUUACAUAGUGGACUAAUUGCAUAGUAAAACCUCUAAAUUAUAAAGACAACAAGAAUUAGGUCCUUUUAUAAUUAACCCCUAAAUUUUCAUUUUACGCGAUUAAGCCCUUUUAUUAAAUCGGACACUUAAACGACGAAAUUAAAACACGAAAAUUUCACACAAUCAAAUGCAUACAAAACAAUAUUAAUAAUAUUUUUCUAAUUCAAAUUUGUGGUCCCGAAACCAGUAUUCUGAUUAGGGUCAAAAACCGGGUUGUUACAACUCUCCCCCCUUAGGGAUUUUCGUCCCCGAAAAUCUUACCGGUGAAUAGGUUUGGAUAACGCUCUUUCAUUGUAUCUUCUAACUCCCAAGUUGCUUCUUCAACCCCAUGUUUAUGCCACAACACUUUAACUAACGGAAUUUUCUUAUUUCGUAAUUCUUUGAUCUCACGAGCCAGAAUGCUAAUCGGUUCUUCCUCAUAUGUCAUAUCAGAGUUAAUUUCAAUCUCCGUCGGACUAAUCACAUGUGAAGGAUCAGAUCGGUAUCUACGAAGCAUCGAAACAUGGAAUACGUUAUGAAUCUUUUCUAACUCAGGCAGUAACAUCAAUCUAUAAGCAACCAAUCCAACUCGCUCUAUAAUCUCAUACGGUCCAAUGAAUCUCGGACACAAUUUGCCUUUACGACCAAAUCUGAGUAUUUUCUUCCACGGUGAGACUUUUAAAAACACUUUAUCCCCGAUCUGAAAUUCUAUAUCCUUUCUUUUCAAAUUCGCAUAAGAUUUCUGACGAUCCGAUGCUGAUUUCAGACUGUCCCGAAUCACUUUCACUUUCUGUUCGGUCUCUUUAAUCAAAUCAACCCCGUGUAUCUUAUUUUCACUGAGCUCGGUCCAAUACAGUGGUGUACGACAUUUACAACCGUACAAAGCCUCAUAAGGUGCCAUUUUGAUACUAGAUUGAAAGCUAUUAUUAUAAGCAAAUUCAAUCAAAGGUAAGUAUCGUUCCCACGUACCUUCAAACUCGAGAAUGCAACAUCUCAACAUAUCCUCAAGUAUCUGAAUGAUUCAUUCAGAUUGACCAUCUGUCUGCGGAUCGAAAGCUGUGCUAAAAUGUAGUUUCGUACCUAAAGCAUCUUGUAGUUUCUUCCAAAAUCGCGAUGUGAAUCUCAGAUCUCUGUCUGAAACAAUAGAAAUAGGUACACCAUGCAACCUCACAAUUUGUGAAAUAUACAAUUCCGCAAGUUUAUCGAGCGAAAAAUCUGUACGAAUCGAAAUAAAAUGUGUCGAUUUUGUCAACCUAUCAACAAUAACCCAGAUUGCAUCUAUCUUGCUCGGUGUCAACGGUAAAUCGGAUACAAAAUCCAUCGUGACUCGAUCCCAUUUCCAUUGAGGUAUCAUGAUCGGCUGAAGCAACCCAGAUGGUACCUGAUGCUUGGCUUUAACUUGCUGACAAAUUAAACAUUUCGAAACAAAGUCAGAAAUGUCUCGUUUCAUACCUUGCCACCAAUAGUGCUGUUUCAGAUCGUUAUACAUUUUCGUGCUACCCGGAUGAACAGAAAAUCGACUACUAUGAGCUUCCUUCAAAAUCAUCUAAAUUAACUCUGAUUUUUUCGGAACACAUAAUCGGUUUCUAAAUCUCAAACAAUCCUCAGCAUCAACUAAAAACUCCGAAUCAAUAUUUAAGUCACAUUGAGCUCGUUUUGCAGUUAAAUCAUUAUCGACCUUUUGAGCUUCACAAAUCUGUUGUACAAAUAACGGUUUUGCUUUCAACUCAGCUACUAUCGCACCAUCAUCAGACAUAACCAUAUGUGCGUUCAUUGCACGCAAAGCAAACAGUGAUUUUCGACUUAGGGCAUCAGCAACAACAUUAGCCUUUCCCGGAUGAUAGUCAAUCACAAGCUCGUAUUCUUUCAGCAAUUCUAACCAUCGACGCUGUCUCAAAUUCAGAUAUUUCUGAGUCAUCAAAUAUUUCAGGCUUUUGGGAUCGGAAUAAACAUGACAUCUUUCACCAAACAGAUAGUGACGCCAUAUUUUUAACGCAAAUACAAUAGCGGCCAAUUCCAGAUCAUGUGUCGGAUAGUUUUUUUCAUGCGGCUUUAACUGUCUCAAGGCAUAGGCUACAACUUUGCCUUCCUACAUCAAAACACAACCCAAACCAUUUAAAGAUGCAUCACUAUAGAUAACAAACUCUUUACCCGAUUCGGGUUGAACUAAGACUGGAGCUUCGGUCAAAAGAACUUUCAACUGAUCAAAGUUUUUCUGACACUUUUCUGACCACUCGAACUUAACGUCUUUUUGUAGUAGCUUUGUCAUCGGGGUCGCAAUCAUAGAAAACCCUUUCACGAACCGUCUAUAAUAACCAGCGAGCCCCAGAAAGCUUCGAACAUCAGAGACAUUUCUCGGAGGUUUCCAAUCAAGUAUAGCUGAAAUUUUACCUGGAUCAACUCGAAUACCCGAUGCUGACACAACAUGGCCCAGAAAACUAACUUCACGUAACCAGAACUCGCAUUUACUGAACUUUGCAUACAACUGUUUAUCUCGCAAAGUUUGUAACACAAGUCUCAGAUGUUCAGUAUGCUCGGUUUCAUCACGAGAGUAGAUCAAAAUAUCAUCUAUAAAUACUACCACAAAUCGAUCCAGAUACUGUCUAAAAAUCUGAUUCAUCAAAUCCAUGAAAACAGCAGGUGCAUUAGUAAGUCCAAAAGGCAUAACCAAGAACUCAUAAUGUCCGUACCUCGUUCGGAAAGCUGUCUUUGGCACAUCAGAGUCUUUAACUCGCAACUGAUAGUAGCCUGAUCUCAGAUCUAUCUUCGAAAACACAGUAGCCCCUUUCAACUGAUCGAACAAAUCAUCAAUCCGUGGUAACGGAUACUUAUUCUUUAUAGUCACCUUAUUGAGUUGCCGGUAAUCAAUGCACAUUCUCAUUGUUCUGUCUUUCUUUUUCACAAAUAGAACUGGUGCACCCCAAGGAGAGAAACUCGGUCGUGUAAAACCUUUAUCAGUCAACUCUUGCAACUGUACUUUCAAUUCUUUUAAUUCGGUCGGUACCAUACGGUACGGAGCUAUCGAAAUUGGAGUUGUCCCUGGUACUAACUCAAUACCAAACUCUACCUCUCGAAUAGGUGGCAAACCCGGUAAUUCUUCGGGAAACACGUCUGAAUACUUACACACUACUGGCACAGAUUCAAUCUUCUUUUCGGUCACUUUACUAUCAAGAAAAAAUGCAAGGUAAUCUUCACAACCUUUUCUCACAUACUUCUGAGCCGACAUCGAGGAUAUUAUUGCUGGUAAACCAUUCAGAUCAUUAGAUUCAAUCCGAAUAAUCUCAUCAUUCUGACACCGUAGAUCAAUAGUUUUCCGUUUGCAGUUUACUAUAGCAUUAUGCAGAGUUAACCAAUCCAUACCCAGAAUUAUAUCAAACUCGUCAAAUGGUAGCAACAUCAAAUCAGCCAGAAAACAUAAAUCUCGAAUCAUCAACGGACAAUUCUUGCACACUUUGUCAACCAAAACACACCGGCCCAAGAGGUUCAAUACUUUAAUUACAAACUCAGUAGACUCAACAGGCAAAGUCUUACUGAAUACUAAAGUCUCACACACAUAAGAAUGAGUCGAACCAAGAUCAAUCAAUGCAAUAACAUUAGUAUCAUAAAGAGUGAAAGUACCAGUAAUAACAUCUGGAGAAGAAGCCUCCUCCCGAGCACGGAUGGCAUAUGCUCUGGCAAGUGCACGAGCCUCAGAUCGAACUGCCAUGUCCUUUGUUCCUCUCUGACUGCCACUUACAUUACUCAAUUGCCUCGGCGGUCUACCUCGUACAGGUACUUUACUCGGUCUGGUAUUCUACACAGUGUUUUGCUCAGCUACCAUCGGACACUCUCGAAUGAAAUGAUCCUUUGAACCGCACUUAAAGCAAGACCGAUCAUGUAAUCUGCAAUCUCCAGGAUGCCAUUUCCCACAAUGCUUGUACUCUGAUCUAUUUUGUCGAACACUACCAACGCUAGCAACUGAAGUAGCUCGUGAACUCACAGGGGGUCGAUCUCGAUCAUACUUAGGAAACCCUGCAGUAGCUUUAGAUCGGCUAUGAUCCUCUCUGGAUUUCAUUGAGGUCGACUGGAAUGAUUUACUGAAUGAUCUUUUACGAGAAUCUCGAGCUUCAUAGCCAGCUUUCCUCUUCUCUUUACUGAGCUCCUUAACUUUACAAGGUCGUUCAACAAGUACUACGAACUCUUUUAUCUCAAGUAUACCAAAUAACAGUUUAAUAUCUUCAUCCAGCCCAUCUUCAAAUCUUUUACACAUGAUAGCUUCAGUCGAAAUACAUUCUCGAGCAUAUCUACUGAGUCUCACAAAUUUCCGCUCAUAUUCUAUCACUGUCAUACGACCCUGUUUCAAUUCAAGAAAUUCCUUAUGCUUCUGAUCAAUGAAUCUUUGGCUGAUGUAUUUCUUACAGAACUCAAUCUGAAAGAAUUCCCAGGUCACUCGCUCUUUCGGAACCACCGAUACUAGUGUAUUCCACCAGUGAUAUGCAGUGUCCCGUAGCAAAGAUAUGGCACAUUUCAAGUACUCAUCAGGGGUGCAAGAUAACUCAUCAAACACUCGAAUAGUAUUAUCAAGCCAGAAUUCAGCUUGCUCAGCAUCAUCAUCAUCAGUAGCUCUGAACUCUUCGACCCCGUGUUUUCAAAUUUAGUCAACAGGAGGCUUAAGUAAUCUCAUCGGAUCACUUACUUGAGGUAUAAUAGGAAUCGAAGGUGGAUUAGUCGGGGGUGGAGUUUGUUGUGCAACCGGAUUAGUUCGGACAUAUUGAGUAAACCAGUCAUUCAUCAUUUGGUAGAAGGCUUGUUUAGCCUCUCCCUCCUGGUUACUCGAGGUCGGUCGAGAAUCUACCAGCUCUGUCCCUUGUGUGGGAGCAGGCGCUAUACUCUCAACAUCAUCGACUACGGCUGGAUCGGGAUCCAUUACUAUACGAAAACACAUUUUUAGACAUCAGCAGUCAUCGCACUAUCUUGGUAUAAAAAUAUGGCAUGUAUAGCUAGACUCAUACAUGCUACAUUAGUCCAAGAAUCGAUUAAACCGUAGCUCUGAUACCAAUAAAAUGUAACACCCCUAACCCGUAUCCGUCGCCGAAUUAGGGUUACGAGGCAUUACUGAACAAAUACAACCAUUUUUAAAACCAACUGAUCACAAACAUGAAAAUUAAAUCAUUUUCACAUAGCUAUUUAUAAUUUACAAUCAACAUCUAACCAACAUCGUACUCAAACCUAUACAUGCCAUAAGAUCAAGUUCAAAUAUUUAACAAAAUACCAAAAGGGGUCGAAAGUGUGAUAGACUAUGCUGAUGAUCCCCGAGCUCGUAACGCAUCUCCAAAAUCUAUAAAAACAAAUGGACAAAAACAAUCAAAGUAAGCUUUUAUAGCUUAGUAAGUCUAUAGCAUAUCUAAAAUACAUAUAAAAGAAUCAUAUAAUUCUUAAAAUAAAUUUAUUGAAAUCACAAUUAUCAAUUAUAAUUACUAAUCGAACAUUGCUAUAUUAAGUCAUCUUGUUUAAAUCUAAAAGGAUGUGUAUUUAUCUAAUACACAUGAACGGACAAAUGUAUAUACAUUAUAUGCAUAUAAUCAAUUUACUAACAUAAUCAUUAAUUGCAUAUACGGAUUUCUAUAGUACUUAUUGUUCGCACUUAAUCGGAUCCAUUUAAAUAUAAUUGUUCAAAUACAUAUACCAAAAGCAUAAUAAUUUUAUACUUGAUCAACUAUAAGUGCCGAAUGCACAUAUACACCUAUACCCACCUAUGCCGAAUGCAUACAUAUAUACACAUAUAUAUAUAUCCAACAAUUUCGUGACAACCGAUAUAUAUAUACAUACUCACUAUUCACAAGGACUCGAACGAUUAUAUACUCAUCAACCACCUUAAAACAAUGUUCAUAAACUUAUCCAUUUCAUAUAAACAAAAGCAUAUAUAUUUAUACCCAAUGCAUAGAAUCACUUAAUUUAAACAGAUUCACUAGCACUUCACCUGAUAGGCUUAUAGUUUAAUUCAGUUCACCGGUACUUAGCCUACUAGGCUUGUAGCCUGAUUCAGUUCACCGGCACUUAGCCUGCUAGACGUAUAGUCCGAUUCAAUUCACCGGCAUUUAGCCUGCUAGACGUAUAGUCCGAUUCAAUUUAUCGGCACUUAGCCUGCUAGAUGUAUAGUCUGAAUAAUUUUACUGGUAAUAAAUCCGAUAGUCAUUUCUCCGUUGAAAUUGAAUUAUAUUCAAUUCUGCGUAACAAACAUGCACUUAAAACAUACUUGCAUAAUUCACAACAAUAAUUUCAGUCCAAAGAGCUGUAAUUCAUAUUCGAACUAUAUAUAUAAAUCCAUACAUAAAAAUUCAGCUCAAAAUUUAUAACCUAUAUCUUUGAACCACAUAGGUACAUGAAAUUCAAACAACAAAAUCCAGCUCAAUAACUUCAUGAUUCAACCUAACAAAUUUAUGUAUAUAACUUUUUAUCUAAUUUCAAUACAAUAACUUAUACAUGUACGUAUAUACAUAUUCGAAUCUAACAUAUACAUAUAUAAUUUCAUACUUAAAUAUAUUCAAGACUUAUUCAUGAGUAUACAUAUAUAUUACAACUCACAUGUACAUAUAUAUACACAUUCAUACCUUUAACCAAGUCCAAGGCUUUAUACAUGUAUAUGCUUAUAUAUAUAUAUAUUCGGACCUUAUGUUUACAUAUAUAUUAUAUAUAAAUACCUUUGAUUAAAAACAAGUAUUUAUACAUAUAUAUAUUUUUGAACAUGAUACAUAUAUAUAUUUAUAUCAUUCAUACUUAAACAAAAUUCAAUCCAUAUACUUUCAAUUUCAGCUCACCAAAUUACUAUAGAUAUACAUGCAUAUAUACUGAUUUAAUAACCUCAAAUUGCUAAUAGACUUACCUCGGAUAUCAGCGGACACGAUCGACUAUUCGAUUACUUUCGUUUUUCCCCGAUCCAAAUUCGUUUUCUUCGUUUUUUUAUCUUAAUUAGACCUAGAGAUAGCCGAACCUUGUUGUUCUCUUUUCUUUUCUUUUCUUUUUCUUUUCUAUAUUCGGCCAAGAUGAAGAACAUGGCAUUUAAAAUUUGUUAUAUUAAACAUAUAUUAGCCUUAUUUUUAAUUUACUAUAUUAACCUUUACAUAUAUAUAUAACAUAUAUAAUAAGGUUACAUUAGUCCUUUGCCACCCACUAACUUACAUAGUGGACUAAUUGCAUAGUAAAACCUCUAAAUUAUAAAGACAACAACAAUUAGGUGCUUUUAUAAUUAACCCCUAAAUUUUCAUUUUACGCGAUUAAGCCCUUUUAUUAAAUCGGACACUUAAACGACGAAAUUAAAACACGAAAAUUUCACACAAUCAAAUGCAUACAAAAUAAUAUUAAUAAUAUUUUUCUAAUUCAAAUUUGUGGUCCCGAAACCAGUAUUCUGAUUAGGGUCAAAAACCGGGUUGUUACAACUCUCCCCCCUUAGAGAUUUUCGUCCCCGAAAAUCUUACCGGUGAAUAGGUUUGGAUAACGCUCUUUCAUUGUAUCUUCUGACUCCCAAGUUGCUUCUUCAACCCCAUGUUUAUGCCACAACACUUUAACUAACGGAAUUUUCUUAUUUCGUAAUUCUUUGAUCUCACGAGCAAGAAUGCUAAUCGGUUCUUCCUCAUAUGUCAUAUCAGAGUUAAUUUCAAUCUCCGUCGGACUAAUCACAUGUGAAGGAUCAGAUCGGUAUCUACGGAGCAUCGAAACAUGGAAUACGUUAUGAAUCUUUUCUAACUCAGGCAGUAACAUCAAUCUAUAAGCAACCAAUCCAACUCGCUCUAUAAUCUCAUACGGUCCAAUUAAUCUCGGACACAAUUUGCCUUUACGACCAAAUCUGAGUAUUUUCUUCCACGGUGAGACUUUUAACUUGCUCGGUGUCAACGGUAAAUCGGAUACAAAAUCCAUCGUGACUCGAUCCCAUUUCCAUUGAGGUAUCAUGAUCGGCUGAAGCAAUCCAGAUGGUACCUGAUGCUCGGCUUUAACUUGCUGACAAAUUAAACAUUUCGAAACAAAGUCAGAAAUGUCUCGUUUCAUACCUUGCCACCAAUAGUGCUGUUUUAGAUCGUUAUACAUUUUCGUGCUACCCGGAUGAACAGAAAAUCGAAUACUAUGAGCUUCCUUCAAAAUCAUCUGAAUUAACUCUGAAUUUUUCGGAACACAUAAUCGGUUUCUAAAUCUCAAACAAUCCUCAGCAUCAACUAAAAACUCCGAAUCAAUAUUUAAGUCACAUUGAGCUCGUUUUGCAGUUAAAUCAUUAUCAACCUUUUGAGCUUCACAAAUCUGUUGUACAAAUAACAGUUUUGCUUUCAACUCAGCUACUAUCGCACCAUCAUCAGACAUAACCAUAUGUGCGUUCAUUGCACGCAAAGCAAACAGUGAUUUUCGACUUAGGGCAUCAGCAACAACAUUAGCCUUUCCCGGAUGAUAGUCAAUCACAAGCUCGUAAUCUUUCAGCAAUUCUAACCAUCGACGCUGUCUCAAAUUCAGAUAUUUCUGAGUCAUCAAAUAUUUCAGGCUUUUGGGAUCGGAAUAAACAUGACAUCUUUCGCCAAACAGAUAGUGACGCCAUAUUUUUAACGCAAAUACAAUAGCGGCCAAUUCCAGAUCAUGCGUCGGAUAGUUUUUUUCAUGCGGCUUUAACUGUCUCAAGGCAUAGGCUACAACUUUGCCUUCCUACAUCAAAACACAACCCAAACCAUUUAAAGAUGCAUCACUAUAGAUAACAAACUCUUUACCCGAUUCGGGUUGAACUAGGACUGGAGCUUCGGUCAAAAGAACUUUCAACUGAUCAAAGUUUUUCUGACACUUUUCUGACCACUCGAACUUAACGUCUUUUUGUAGUAGCUUUGUCAUCGGGGUCGCAAUCAUAGAAAACCCUUUCACGAACCGUCUAUAAUAACCAGCGAGCCCCAGAAAGCUUCGAACAUCAGAGACAUUUCUCGGAGGUUUCCAAUCAAGUAUAGCUGAAAUUUUACUUGGAUCAACCUGAAUACCCGAUGCUGACACAACAUGGCCCAGAAAACUAACUUCACGUAACCAGAACUCGAAUUUACUGAACUUUGCAUACAACUGUUUAUCUCGCAAAGUUUGUAACACAAGUCUCAGAUGUUCAGUAUGCUCGGUUUCAUCACGAGAGUAGAUCAAAAUAUCAUCUAUAAAUACUACCACAAACAGAUCCAGAUACUGUCUAAAAAUCUGAUUCAUCAAAUCCAUGAAAACAGCAGGUGCAUUAGUAAGUCCAAAAGGCAUAACCAAGAACUCAUAAUGUCCGUACCUCGUUCGGAAAGCAGUCUUUGGCACAUCAGAGUCUUUAACUCGCAACUGAUAGUAGCCUGAUCUCAGAUCUAUCUUCGAAAACACAGUAGCCCCUUUCAACUGAUCGAACAAAUCAUCAAUCCGUGGUAACGGAUACUUAUUCUUUAUAGUCACCUUAUUGAGUUGCCGGUAAUCAAUGCACAUUCUCAUUGUUCCGUCUUUCUUUUUCACAAAUAGAACUGGUGCACCCCAAGGAGAGAAACUCGGUCGUGCAAAACCUUUAUCAGUCAACUCUUGCAACUGUACUUUCAAUUCUUUUAAUUCAGUCGGUGCCAUACGGUACGGAGCUAUCGAAAUUGGAGUUGUCCCUGGUACUAACUCAAUACCAAACUCUACCUCUCGAAUAGGUGGCAAACCCGGUAAUUCUUCGGGAAACACGUCUGAAUACUUACACACUACUGGCACAGAUUCAAUCUUCUUUUCGAUCACUUUACUAUCAAGAAAAAAUGCAAGGUAAUCUUCACAACCUUUUCUCACAUACUUUUUUGCCGACAUCGAGGAUAUUAUUGCUGGUAAACCAUUCAGAUCAUUAGAUUCAAUCCGAAUAAUCUCAUCAUUCUGACACCGUAGAUCAAUAGUUUUCCGUUUGCAGUUUACUAUAGCAUCAUGCAGAGUUAACCAAUCCAUACCCAGAAUUAUAUCAAACUCGUCAAAUGGUAGCAACAUCAAAUCAGCCAGAAAACAUAAAUCUCGAAUCAUCAACGGACAAUUCUUGCAUAUUUUGUCAACCAAAACACACCGGCCCAGGGGGUUCAAUACUUUAAUUACAAACUCAGUAGACUCAACAGGCAAAGUCUUACUGAAUACUAAAGUCUCACACACAUAAGAAUGAGUCGAACCAAGAUCAAUCAAUGCAAUAACAUUAGUAUCAUAAAGAGGGAAAGUACCAGUAAUAACAUCUGGAGAAGAAGCCUCCUCUUGAGCACGGAUGGCAUAUGCUCUGGCAAGUGCACGAGCCUCAGAUCGAACUGCCAUGUCCUUUGUUCCUCUCUGACUGCCACUUACAUUACUCAAUUGCCUCGGUGGUCUACCUCGUACUGGCACUUUACUCGGUCUGGUAUUCUGCACAGUGUUUUGCUCAGCUACCAUCGGACACUCUCGAAUGAAAUGAUCCUUUGAACCGCACUUAAAGCAAGACCGAUCAUGUAAUCUGCAAUCUCCAGGAUGCCAUUUCCCACAAUACUUGUACUCUGAUCUAUUUUGUCGAACACUACCAACGCUAGCAACUGAAGUAGCUCGUGAACUCACAGGGGGUCGAUCUCGAUCAUACUUAGGAAACCCUGCAGUAGCUUUAGAUCGGCUAUGAUCCUCUCUGGAUUUCAUUGAGGUCGACUGGAAUGAUUUACUGAAUAAUCUUUUACGAGAAUCUCGAGCUUCAUAGCCAGCUUUCCUCUUCUCUUUCCCGAGCUCCUCAACUUUACAAGGUCGUUCAACAAGUACUACGAACUCUUUUAUCUCAAGUAUACCAAAUAACAGUUUAAUAUCUUCAUCCAGCCCAUCUUCAAAUCUUUUACACAUGAUAGCUUCAGUCGAAAUACAUUCUCGAGCAUAUCUACUGAGUCUCACAAAUUUCCGCUCAUAUUCUAUCACUGUCAUACGACCCUGUUUCAAUUUAAGAAAUUACUUACGCUUCUGAUCAAUGAAUCUUUGGCUGAUGUAUUUCUUACAGAACUCAAUCUGAAAGAAUUCCCAGGUCACUCGCUCUUUCGGAACCACCGAUACUAGUGUAUUCCACCAGUGAUAUGCAGUGUCCCGUGGCAAAGAUAUGGCACAUUUCAAGUACUCAUCAGGGGUGCAAGAUAACUCAUCAAACACUCGAAUAGUAUUAUCAAGCCAGAAUUCAUCUCGCUCAGCAUCAUCAUCAUCAGUAGCUCUGAACUCUUCGACCCCGUGUUUUUGAAUUUUGUCAAUAGGAGGCUUAAGUAAUCUCAUCGGAUCACUUACUUGAGGUAUAACAGGAAUCGAAGGUGGAUUAGUCGGGGGUGGAGUUUGUUGUGCAACCGGAUUAGUUCGGACAUAUUGAGUAAACCAGUCAUUCAUCAUUUGGUAGAAGGCUUGUUUAGCCUCUCCCUCCUGGUUACUCGAGGUCGGUCGAGAAUCUACCGGCUCUGUCCCUUGUGUGGGAGCAGGCGCUAUACCCUCAACAUCAUCGACUACGGCUCGAUCGGGAUCCAUUACUAUACGAAAACACAUUUUUAGACAUCAGCAGUCAUCACACUAUCUUGGUAUAAAAAUAUGGCAUGUAUAGCUAGACUCAUACAUGCUACAUUAGUCCAAGAAUCGAUUAAACCGUAGCUCUGAUACCAAUAAAAUGUAACACCCCUAACCCGUAUCCGUCGCCGAAUUAGGGUUACGAGGCAUUACUGAACAAAUACAACCAUUUUUAAAACCAACUGAUCACAAACAUGAAAAUUAAAUCAUUUUCACAUAGCUAUUUAUAAUUUACAAUCAACAUCUAACCAACAUCGUACUCAAACCUAUACAUGCCAUAAGAUCAAGUUCAAAUAUUUAACAAAAUACCAAAAGGGGUCAAAAGUGUGAUAGACUAUGCUGAUGAUCCCCGAGCUCGUAACGCGUCUCCAAAAUCUAUAAAAACAAAUGGACAAAAACAAUCAAAGUAAGCUUUUAUAGCUUAGUAAGUCUAUAGCAUAUCUAAAAUACAUAUAAAAGAAUCAUAUAAUUCUUAAAAUAAAUUUAUUGAAAUCACAAUUAUCAAUUAUAAUUACUAAUCGAACAUUGCUAUAUUAAGUCAUCUUGUUUAAAUCUAAAAGGAUGUGUAUUUAUCUAAUACACAUGAACGGACAAAUGUAUAUACAUUAUAUGCAUAUAAUCAAUUUACUAACAUAAUCAUUAAUUGCAUAUACGGAUUUCUAUAGUACUUAUUGUUCGCACUUCAUCGGAUCCAUUUAAAUAUAAUUGUUCAAAUACAUAUACCAAAAGCAUAAUAAUUUUAUACUUGAUCAACUAUAAGUGCCGAAUGCACAUAUACACCUAUACCCACCUAUGCCGAAUGCAUACAUAUAUACACAUAUAUAUAUAUCCAACAAUUUCAUGACAACCGAUAUAUAUAUACAUACUCACUAUUCACAAGGACUCGAACGAUUAUAUACUCAUCAACCACCUUAAAACAAUGUUCAUAAACUUAUCCAUUUCAUAUAAACAAAAGCAUAUAUAUUUAUACCCAAUGCAUAGAAUCACUUAAUUUAAACAGAUUCACUGGCACUUCACCUGAUAGGCUUAUAGUUUAAUUCAGUUCACCGGCACUUAGCCUACUAGGCUUGUAGCCUGAUUCAGUUCACCGGCACUUAGCCUGCUAGACGUAUAGUCCGAUUCAAUUCACCGGCAUUUAGCCUGCUAGACGUAUAGUCCGAUUCAAUUUACCGGCACUUAGCCUGCUAGAUGUAUAGUCUGAAUAAUUUUACUGGUAAUAAAUCCGAUAGUCAUUUCUCCGUUGAAAUUGAAUUAUAUUCAAUUCUGCGUAACAAACAUGCACUUAAAACAUACUUGCAUAAUUCACAACAAUAAUUUCAGUCCAAAGAGCUGUAAUUCAUAUUCGAACUAUAUAUAUAUAAAUCCAUACAUAAAAAUUCAGCUCAAAAUUUAUAACCUAUAUCUUUGAACCACAUAGGUACAUGAAAUUCAAACAACAAAAUCCAGCUCAAUAACUUCAUGAUUCAACCUAACAAAUUUAUGUAUAUAACUUUUUAUCUAAUUUCAAUACAAUAACUUAUACAUGUACGUAUAUACAUAUUUGAAUCUAACAUAUACAUAUAUAAUUUCAUACUUAAAUAUAUUCAAGACUUAUUCAUGAGUAUACAUAUAUAUUACAACUCACAUGUACAUAUAUAUACACAUUCAUACCUUUAACCAAGUCCAAGGCUUUAUACAUGUAUAUGCUUAUAUAUAUAUAUAUUCGGACCUUAUGUUUACAUAUAUAUUAUAUAUAAAUACCUUUGAUUAAAAACAAGUAUUUAUACAUAUAUAUAUUUUCGAACAUGAUACAUACAUAUAUUUAUAUCAUUCAUACUUAAACAAAAUUCAAUCCAUAUACUUUCAAUUUCAGCUCACCAAAUUACUAUAGAUAUACAUGCAUAUAUACUGAUUUAAUAACCUCAAAUUGCUAAUAGACUUACCUCGGAUAUCAGCGGACACGAUCGACUAUUCGAUUACUUUCGUUUUUCCCCGAUCCAAAUUCGUUUUCUUCGUUUUUUUAUCUUAAUUAGACCUAGAGAUAGCCGAACCUUGUUGUUCUCUUUUCUUUUCUUUUCUUUUUCUUUUCUAUAUUCGGCCAAGAUGAAGAACAUGGCAUUUAAAAUUUGUUAUAUUAAACAUAUAUUAGCCUUAUUUUUAAUUUACUAUAUUAACCUUUACAUAUAUAUAACAUAUAUAAUAAGGUUACAUUAGUCCUUUGCCACCCACUAACUUACAUAGUGGACUAAUUGCAUAGUAAAACCUCUAAAUUAUAAAGACAACAACAAUUAGGUGCUUUUAUAAUUAACCCCUAAAUUUUCAUUUUACGCGAUUAAGCCCUUUUAUUAAAUCGGACACUUAAACAACGAAAUUAAAACACGAAAAUUUCACACAAUCAAAUGCAUACAAAAUAAUAUUAAUAAUAUUUUUCUAAUUCAAAUUUGUGGUCCCGAAACCAGUAUUCUGAUUAGGGUCAAAAACUGGGUUGUUACAACUCUCCCCCCUUAGGGAUUUUCGUCCCCGAAAAUCUUACCGGUGAAUAGGUUUGGAUAACGCUCUUUCAUUGUAUCUUCUGACUCCCAAGUUGCUUCUUCAACCCCAUGUUUAUGCCACAACACUUUAACUAACGGAAUUUUCUUAUUUCGUAAUUCUUUGAUCUCACGAGCCAGAAUGCUAAUCGGUUCUUCCUCAUAUGUCAUAUCAGAGUUAAUUUCAAUCUCCGUCGGACUAAUCACAUGUGAAGGAUCAGAUCGGUAUCCACAGAGCAUUGAAACAUGGAAUACGUUAUGAAUCUUUUCUAACUCAGGCAGUAACAUCAAUCUAUAACCAACCGAUCCAACUCGCUCUAUAAUCUCAUACGGUCCAAUGAAUCUCGGACUCAAUUUGCCUUUACGACCAAAUCUGAGUAUUUUCUUCCACGGUGAGACUUUUAAAAACACUUUAUCCCCGAUCUGAAAUUCUAUAUCCUUUCUUUUCAAAUCCGCAUAAGAUUUCUGACGAUCCGGUGCUGAUUUCAGACUGUCCCGAAUCACUUUCACUUUCUGUUCGGUCUCUUUAAUCAAAUCAACCCCGUGUAUCUUAUUUUCACUGAGCUCAGUCCAAUACAGUGGUGUACGACAUUUACGACCGUACAAAGCCUCAUAAGGUGCCAUUUUGAUACUAGAUUGAAAGCUAUUAUUAUAAGCAAAUUCAAUCAAAGGUAAGUAUCGUUCCCACGUACCUUCAAACUCGAGAAUGCAACAUCUCAACAUAUCCUCAAGUAUCUGAAUGAUUCGUUCAGAUUGACCAUCUGUCUGCGGAUGGAAAGCUGUGCUAAAAUGUAGUUUCGUACCUAAAGCUGUGCUAAAAUGCACACAAAAUAAACACACAAAAUAAUAUUAAUAAUAUUUUUCUAAUUCGGAUUUGUGGUCCCGAAACCACUAUUCCGAUUAGGGUCAAAAACCGGGUUGUUACAAUUCUGCUUCUUCUGCAUCAUCAUCUUUGGUAGCUCGAAAUUCUUCAGCCCCUUACUUCCUAAUCUUAUCAACAGGUGGUCUCUCACUGAUGACUAUACCUGCAGCUAGGGAAACUACAUGAGGAACCUGUGAAUCCUGAAGGGGUGGAGGUCUUACACCCGGAUUCAUACGAACGAACUCGGCAAACCAAUCAUUCAUGGCUUGGAAGAAGGCUUCUCUAGCUCCUCCUCCCUGUCUAACUGAUGCAGGUCUUUCACUAACGUUAACAUCUAGUGGCACCGUCCUUUCUGCGGAAGUAGGCGCAUUACUCUCUACUUCAUCUGCACCAGCUCGUUCAGGAUCCGUAACUAUAAAAUAAAAUAUUUUAAAAUCGUCAAGAGUCGUCACACUAUCAAAAUAUAUAAGUAUGGCAUGUAUAGGUAGACUUUUAUUCAUACUGCAUAUUUCUGAGAACCGAUUAAACCUGCUCUGAUACCAACAAAUGUAACACCCCUUACCCAAGACCAUUUUCGGAGUCGAGCACGAGGCAUUACUUAUCUUAUCUUACUAACUCGAAGCAUAAAAACUUAUUUUAAAAAUUAAUUUCACUAUUUACAGCAAUCUGUCCAAUCGAGCAGCAGUUACUAAAUUAAUAAUAACUCGAGCUACGGAACUUGAAAUUUAACUUCGUAAAUUUUCACUGAAACUAGACUCAUAUAUCUUCCUACCAUAAAGUUUUUAGGAUUUUUUGUUUAGCCAACUAGUACAGUUUAUUAGUCAAAUUCUCCCCUGUUUCACCAAUCGAUUGCCUUGACCUCUUAUCACUAAAAAUAAAAUUUCUCAAUGUGGGAUUUUCGUAUAGUGCUACUGCUUGCUUCUACAAAAAAUAGACUCAAUAAGGAAUCUAUAAAUAUAAACUACAGCUCCUAAAUAUUUUUUUAAAAAUUUUAAUGAUUUUCUAAACUCAAAAUAGGGGUCACCAAAAACUGUUCUAACCCUGUCUCACCAAAAUUCACAUAUCUUAAAAUAUAAAAUUCAUUUUGCUACACCGUUAUUUUUAUCUGAAAAUAGACUCAACAAGAUUUAAAUUCAUAUAUCAUUCACUCUUUAAUUCAUUUUAUACUAUCCUAGGUGAUAUUUCAAAGUCACGUCGUUGUUGCUGCCUGAAUUCUGUUUCUUUGCAAAAUUGUACCAUUUUAUGAUUUCCAUGCAUAGUUUAUCACUUACACUCUUAUAACAACAAACACUUCCAUACUUCACCAUUUUAGCAACCAUUCAUCAUCAACUACUUACAUAUCAUUCUUUAUCAAGAUCAUAAAUACAAACAUUUAAAAUAACUAAAUCCCUAUACAUUCCAUACUCAACAUGGUUCAACAUAAAAAUACCGAGUUGCUGUGGCUGAUAGUGUGGACGAUCUCCGACUUCUUUAGGAUCCUUGAAGUAACCUUGCAAUACUAUAAGAGAAAGAGAAAUAAAAGACGUAAGCAUAAAGCUUAGUAAGUUUACUAGCAAAUAAAUAACAAUAUUUAACUCAGAUAAUUAAACUCAAGUGUCUAUAUCUCUAGUUUACUCUUUAGUUAAUCCCAUUCUAGUUCUCUUGCUUGUUUACUUAGUAUACUUGUGUGCAUAACUUAAUCUUCUCUUGCUGUAUCGUUGAAUAUCAAUUGAUAAUAUAAUAAGUUCUUAACUCUUAUAACUUACCUGAACUUGCCAUUUAUGUUUUUAACUGAACUUUCCUGAACAUGAUUCGUUAUUUAGCCCGUUGAGCUACAUUGGAACAAUAAGGAUACUCGGGUCUCUUCUGAUAAUAACAUGCCAAAGCCAUGUCCCAGACAUGGUCUUACAUGGGAUGUACUCAUGUCGGUGCCCAUUCCAUGUCCCAGACAUGGUCUUACGGGGGACCUCUCAUCUCGGUGCCAAUGUCAUGUCUCAGACAUGGUCUUACAUGGGACCUCUCAUCUCGGUGCCAACACCAUGUCCCAGACAUUGUCUUACAUGGGACCUCUCAUUUCGGUGCCAACGCCAUGUCCCAGACAUGGUCUUACAUGGGACCUCUUUAUCCAAAUGUCAUGACAUUCGUAUCCAGUAUUAUCCUUAUGUAUCAACGGGACUUUUUAAUUUUAAUUCUCUAUCAUUUCAUGCUUGGAUAAUCAUCAAAUAAAUUCAUGAAAUAAAUUCAUAGUUGCUGGAAAAUAGCAGCAUUAAUAAAAAUUAUUGAAAUAUUUCAUUUAUUUACCGUAAACUUACCUUGGUACCGAAUAUAGCCCAAUUCACCAACUUAGUCUUCAACUUUAUUCUUUCCUUUGUCUAACCUCGAGUUUCAUUCUUCUUGAUCUAAAAUAGAAAAUUUAACUUAUUUAAUACUCACAUUCAUCAAAACAGCCCUCGACUCUAACUUUUCAAAAUUAUGAUUUUGCCCCUAAACUUUUACAUAAUUACAUUUUUCCCCAAGGCUCGAAAAUUCAACUUCAUCUCAUAUUCUUAUGUUUUAUGGCAUGCUGAAUAUUUUUCUCUUCUAUGACAAUAUCAAAUUCUCACUCUAACACUUACUUAUGUACAUUAGAGAUUUUUACCGAUUAUGUCAACUUACUCGUUUUUGCUUAAAAUCGGCUAACAAAAGUUGUUUAACAUAAUUUAUAGCUUCAUAUUCUAUCAUAAAACAUCAAAAUAAACACUUUUCACCUAUGGGUAUUUUUCCAAAUAUAAACCCUAGGUUAAAUUAUUGCUAGAAUAAGCUAAAUUAAGUUACCGGGACUCCAAAAACGUAAGGAACAUUAAAAACGGGGCUUGGGAUCACUUACUAUGGAGCUUGGAAGCUUGAAAACCCUAAAUAUGGCUUACCCCCUUGCUGAUUUCGUCCAAAUGAAGAAGAUGAGCAUAAUUUGUCAUCUUUUUCCCUUUUAAUUCAUUUUAAUUACUAGAUUACCAAAUUGCCCCUAACUUAAAAAUUUCCUAUUUCACUUAUCUCAUGUCCAUUUUUGUCUAAAAACUUAACCAAUGGUCUAAUUACCAUAUAAAGACCUCCAAUUUAAAGUUUCAUAACAAUUGGACACCUCUAACAUGUAGAACUCAACUUUUGCACUUUUUGCAAUUUAGUACUUUUGACUAAAUUGAGUGCCCAAACUUCAAAAUUUUCGAAUAAAAUUUUCAUGAAAUCAUUUUGUGAAAUCAUAGACCAUAAAAAUAUAAGAAAAAUAAAAUUUUCCUCAUCGGAUUUGUGAUCCCGAAACCACUGUUCCGAUAAUCUUAAAUUUGGGCCAUUACAUGAUCACCUUUUUACUAGCUCAUACAUCUCCUACAUCAGACCUUACAUGCAUGCUUACCAAACUUUAUUCUUUUUAACAAAACUUUAUACAUAUCAUCGUAGCACAUCUUUCAUCUUUACUAAACUCAUAUUUUUACCAAUUUCUGUAGACAUCAUCAUCAUCAUCCUAUAUAUAUGCUUCUUGUUUGAACAGUUCAUAUCAAAGAGUCAAGAUAGAGACCCACUUGACACUCACCUACUGCAGUUCAAAGCUCUAAACUUAACCAUCCUUCUCAAACCAGCAGUAAAAACUGCUUAUAGAACAUAGAAUCACCAUUAAAAACCCAUUUACAUACAAAUUACUAUCAUCUUAAUCACUUUUCCACUGUUAAUUUAUAAAUAAGUGUUAAGUAGUAAAUAAAUAAAAAAAUUAACUAAGUUUUCAAAAAAAAAGUCACUGUGACGAGAAGAAUGUUAAAAUUAAUUGGUGUUUGUUAACUCAUAUGUUUUUCUAAAAAUGGGUUAAGUUUUCUUCUGAAAUAAACAAAUGUUUUAAAAUGAUUGUUUUAUAAACUCCGAUCGUACUAUCCCAUCUUGGUGGCUGAUGUAAUAUCCCAAAUUCAGGUCUAACAUCUAAGUCGGGUUGGAUAGGUUACAAUAUAUAUAGAAAGAUUGAUAAAUAAUGCAAACUUGAAUACAAGCAAAGAAAGAAAUCAAUCAAUGUGAAUGACUAACAAGUUUAAAAUCAUAUAUUUGCAUUAUAUUUUGUAAAGCACAAGAUUGUCAUGGAAUUAGACAAUUUGUUUUGAUAAUGGUUAUAUUUUAUAUAGAUUUACUUUUAUGCACUUUCAUAUUGAGUUGAUCAAAAGUUUUGAAACUUUAUAGAAAAUUUGAAUGAAAGAGCAUAUUGAUAUAUAUGCUAUCUUGAGUGUUGAAUUAAGCAUUCUUUAGUAAAAGAGUGUACAUUUCGCACAUGGUAGGUGUGUUGGUUUCUUAUAUAUUAAUUAAGCACAAAUUAAAGAAAAAUAAUAUAUAUCACCAUAGUGUUGUAAUAUUUUGUAUAAUUUGUGAAAUUAUACAAGCAAAUAAGUUUACCUAUCUUGUUAAAUAAAACUCAUUAAGUUGGUUCUUAAUCUUGAAGAAUUAAAUAGGUUGGCUUCUUUAUUCAUUUUAUCCAACUACAAGUUAGAUUAAAGUUGUGGAAAUAGAAUGGUUGAAAAUUUGUGUUAAUGAGAAUUAGAGUUAUGGCCACAACUGAUGCCAACUAUUUCCUAAAAACAGGGAAUGAUGUCCAAAAACAUGCUGUAAAAUAAAAAUUUGGACAUGUUAGAAUAUGAAUUUAUUAUAUUAUAGUUUCAAUGUAAUACCCUUAUCCCAUCUCUGUUGCCGGAUUAGGAUUUCAGAGUAUUACUGAGAAAAAUAGAACAUUUAACUUUCCAACAGAAACAAUUGUACAAUUAAAUACCAACAUAUAACAAUUGAAUCUAAUCAUGGCAAAUAUUACACUUUUGGACCUUGAAUCGAGCCUAUGGGGCCCUAGAAACAGUUUAGGAACAAUCUGGGAUCAAAUCAAAACAAAUCAGAACAUUUUGAAAAAACAUAAAAAUUUAGGAAUACAGAGGUCACAGGCCAUAUGGCCAAGUCGUGUGACAUAGCCUAGAUUGUGUAAACAUCCGAAGUCAGGACACAUAGCUGUGUCCCAGCCUGUGUGUCUACUCAUGUGUAUAUUUGAAAUAGGGUCACACAGUCGUGUUGCAGACUGCCAAACGUGUGUGUAUUCAAAGUGAGGUCGCAAGACCAUGUGGCCGACCGUGCCACAAACUGUUUUGAGACACAAGGUCAUGUCUCAGACCGUGUAAAACAUGCACUUAAAAUAAUAAAUACACACGACCGUAUCUAGUGACUAUGUGUGGCACAUGGUCGUGUGGUAGCUUGUGUCUCAGGUCGUGUGCUCCAUUUUUAACCCCUAAAUCAAGCCAAUCAAGCAUCAUUUCUUAUACAACAAGACAUACCAUAUCUAACUAAUUUUACAUGGUUAAAAACACAUUCAAAUCAACAAAUACAUGCCAAAAUUUCGUUCAUCCUAUGUCUAACCAAUAUGCCAUCAAAAGGCACCUCAAUCCAUACAUCCAUUCAACUCAAGAACAAAGUUACAAUAAAUGAACAAGUUUUAUCAUUAGUUAACCAUUCAUGCCUAAAACCACUAAUCUAAUUGACCAAAAUAUGGGCAUACUCAACAAGCAACCAUUUCAAAACAUCAUCAUCAAAUCUUUAUAUACCAUUUAUGAUCAACUUAAUUAUAUUCAACACAAGUACACAUCCAAAAUCAAGCACAUCACUAAGUAUGCCAAAAUAACUUAACUAUUUACAUAUCAACAAUAAGACACCAUAUCCCAAAAUGAAAUAAAAAAGCUACCAAGAUGGUUGGAUAGUGUGUGCUCCAAAACAAUUCAUCCGGUUAGUCCACAAAACGCCAAAUCAACCAAUAUAGAUAAACAAAAAGGUAAGUUCUAAUUCUUGAUAUUCAAAUGCAAGAUCACACCACAUUAGUAUAUAUUUAUUUACAUCAUAAAUGAUACCUUCCAAAAUUCAUAACCAAUUCAUCAUCCACAAUUUCUCAAUACAACCAUUAAUAUUUAUAAACAAGAACUUCAUAGUAACAUUUAUCAUUUAGUAGUAAUAUAAUUAUCCAACAAAAUUGAACAAAUAAAUGCGUUUUAAGUCAUUUGAUACAUAGCCUGCUGAACUAUAGUAACUUGACUCGGAUACUCAUGAUACUACAUCACACCAAAGGUAUCAAUGAUGCAUAACAGAGGCACCGAAGUGCAGACAAAUGCAUGAAUGUGCAAUCAGAGGCACCGAAGUGAAAACAGAUGCACCAAAGUACAAACCCGUACGAGUGCGCAUUAAAACCCUAUUGGCAUGCUAAUCGUAUCCUAAUUGUUUACUACGUUCAACUGGGCAUUAUACUUAAAAUCAUAAUAUCAAUAAAUCCAUCAUUUAGAGGCACUUCUUAUUUCCGUACACAUACUAUAAAUAUGUAACUUUCAUUUCAAUAAUAUGCAAUAACAAUAAUUACCAUCAUCAAACAUUCAUUUUCUAUUUGUACUUAAUUGCAAAAUUUAAUAAUAUAUAAGUAACUCAUGAAAUUUCACAUAUAUACCAUUAACUAGAAAACAAUAAUAUAAUCAUAAAGUGACACACAUAUACAUAUUAUUACACUAUGAACUUACCUAAAAUCUACUUUCGAUUAAUACACAGGGACUACUCCGCUAUUUUUUCCCUUUUCUCGGUUAUUGUCUUUUUGACUCGGUUCUUGAUCUAUAUAGUAAUUAAAUUCAAUUUAUGAAAUUCACAUACAUUUAAAACUCAAUUCAAUGCAUGAUACCCUUAUGUUUUCAUUAUUUUCACAUUUUUCUUAAACUUUUACAUUUCUCACAAUUUAGUCCCUACAAAAUUUAACAAAAUUUUACAAUUUUCCAUGUUAGUUGAACUUCUUUCGAAACUAGUACAAUCCCUAAUUAUUCACAAUUCACAAAAUUUCUAUGCAAAUUUUAAUAAUUCACACAUUGAUCAUUAAACUCAAAAUUAACACAAAUUUUUUUACAAAAAUAUCCUAAUCAACAUUCAAAUAUGUACAACUACCAUUAAAAAUCAUGAACACCAAAAUUCCAUUACUAACCAAUCCCUAAAACUUUAACAUUUUUAUAAUUCCAUCCUCGGGUUUAAUAGUUUAAGUUACAACGAGUUCAAAAACGUAAAAAUUAUUAAAAACAGGUAAGAGAAACACUUACAUGCACCAAUUUGCUAACCGAAACUUCAAGCUCCAAAAAUGGAGUUUUUUUUUUCUUUUUCGGUGGGAGAGAGUUGAGAAGAUGAUGAUACCAUUUUUUUCUUUUGUUUCUUUUCUUUAAUCAAACUAAUUACUAAAUUAUCCUUUUAAUCUAAACUAAAUUAUUAACAUAGCAUGUCCGUAAUUAUCCAUUAACUAACCAUAAGGUUUAUCUAUCAACCAAGUCCAUUACUUUAGUUUUUCUUUAAAAAUCAAGCACAUUUAACAAAUAGAAGCCACUUUAGCAUCUUUUACAAUUUAGACCUUUUUACUAAAUUAACUAAACAGACAUUAAAAUUUCUUAGCCAAAUUUUAUUAUGACUCCAAUAUAACUCUAUAAGCAUAAAAUAAACAUAAAAUACUAACUCAUUUGUCGAAAUUGUGGUCCUGAAACCACCUUUUUUGAUACCACUGAAAAAUGAGAUAUUACAUUAAAUCUCUAAUUUAUGAUAAUGAAUGUGAGAGAAUAAUUUUCUUUGUUUAGAAAUACUAAUCAUUUUCUUUGUUUAGUAAUACUACAACUAGAAUGUGUUUCGACCCUAUUAUUAGAAACUAAUAAUGGAAACCCAACUUUUAAUUAGAAACCUCUAAUUUUAAAGUUUAAUAGGUAACACCCCGAAUUUUGGCCCUAGAAGAAAUAUGUUUUGAACAAGGGAACAGUUAGGAGACUGCACAUAAAUAUUUAGUUGUGCAAGGAAGUGACAUAAAUGAAUGUCUACUUCAGUGGUUGAGUGAUUUAGGAGUGUUUGGAACUGUCUGAGAAGUCAGGGAUUCAAGCAUUGCUUAUGCAAAAUUUUUAUUUUAAGUGAAUAAAAUCAUUGGAUCUAGAUAGUAAGUUCUUAAAUUAUUGUGGUUAAAAUAUGAUGCAAAAGAGUUGUUGGUCUAGUGGUAAGGGGUGUGUGGAGUGCACAUAGGGCCUAAGGUUCGAGUGGUGGCGCAUCAGAAAGGAAAUAUUUAUUUUGCUACUUGAGCUGUUUAGGUAGUGGAGUUGGACUGAAACACAACUAAGGGGAGUUUGCAUAGAAUUUGAAUGGAGUUGUUGGGGGAGUUGAGGAGAAACCGGUAGAAUAAUUUAAGGAGGGAUAAGGGGAGAGAUUUUAGGAGAAAAUCAAGGGAAGUGAGGGGAGUGAAGAAGUGUGCCGAAAGUGGACUUUGAUACUCAGGAAAUUUGGCCAGAAGGGAUACUGCUCAUUUUGGUAUACUUUUCAUUUCGGUUUUGUGUAGUGUUUCUCUCUCUUUUUGCUUUUUGGUGCCGAAUUUUUGCUAAGAUUUCGAGUACCACUCGGGUUUUUCUUUUGCUGCUUUUUUCUUUUAUCAUUUCUUUUGUUUUGGCCGAAUUUCUUUUUAGUUCCCUCCUUUGUCGAAUUCUUUUCUCUCUUCUCUUUGUUGCUUCUUUUCAUUUCUCUAUUUUUCCAAACCUUGACCGAACAGUGUUGAAGUAGUUCUGUGUUCCAUCUUUUGUCUAAAAUGCUCUUCUUCCUCUACUCCUUUUGAUCAACUAUUUGUCGAAUAUUGCCUUCUCUCCCCUUUUAUCUCUUUAAAUUUAUUUUCGGCUUGACAACAAUUCUCUAACAGUUCAAAUUUCUUGAGGAGUGAAAAAGUAUCGCAUAAUAUUAAAGUCAUCGAAACCUUUCUCUCAUCACUCGAUCAAAGGUAAGUAUGUAGGCUAGCAUUCUAAAGUGUAGGCUGAGUGCUUUCUAUGGUUUCAUAAGUUAUUAUGUUUGGAUUUAAACCACAUGAAUAAACAAUCCUAUUUAAUAAAAUCCGUUUGUAAUGCAGAUAUCCAUCAAAGAGAUUGUAGUCAACCUUCGUCAGUGAUAUAAGUAGGCUAAGUCACAUUUGACAAUCGAGGCUUUGGUGCUCGUGGAUCUUAGAGUGUUUUCACAAUCAGGUGUGUAAACACCCCACUGUAACCGUAGAACGACAAAAAGCUAAAAGGCCAAAAAUACGGUGUUUGAGACCACACAGGCGUGCGAUCUCUCAUGUGGUAAGCCCAACCCACAAAUCAUGGCCGAUAGACUGUAGAGGCCUCCAUGAACAUUUCCAUGGGCUUAGGCCGUAAUGGGCCACGUUGGGCCGAAAUGGGUCGUGUGGGUUCAAUAGGCUCGUGGGCACCAUACAGAUGAGAACCACGAUUUGUGAAAAAUACUGGACUGGGCUAUGAAGAUCUCAUAGCCGUGGAAAAAUCUGGGCUGAACAGGCCGCACAAGCGUGCGGGCCUACUUGGGCCGAGUAAUGGGCCUUAGGCCCAUUUGUACCAUUAUGACCAUUUAGGUUACCUGAGUCGCUCGAGGUAACUACGGACCUUUCGAGAGGUCGAUAUCUGCACCAAGACCCAAAAUAGGUAAAAUGAUCGAAAUACCCCUAUAGAGUAAAAUGACCGAAAUACCCCCAAAGGAUAAAAUGAUUGAAAUACCCCUAUAAGGUAAAACGAUCGAAAUACCCCCGUAGGAUAAAAUAACUAUUAUACCCCUAGAAGAUGAAAUGACUGUUAUGGCCUUAUGCUAUGUAUGACUGUUUUGCUCUAUGAUAUGUAUGACUAUGGUUGAGCAUGACAUUUUUCAUACACGUAUGAUAUUAUGUCAUGAUAUAUUGCAUGGGGAUGGAUUGUUAUAUUUGGAGGAAGUGUACUGUACUGACAAGGUUGCACGGGUCGCCCAAGACGACUGUGGACCUACUGAUGGCUAUAUGCCAUUUAUUUUACUGGCAGCUUUGCUGCAAUACUGUUUAAUGCUGCAACUGGUGCUAAUCUUGGUGUGUUUGGAUGGAUGGGUAGAUUUUAUCCCCCAUAUGGUGUGUUUGGCGGAACUGUAACACCCUUAACCUGAAUCCAUUCUGACAUUGUCUCACAAAAUUUAUUAUAUCUCAUAGUUUACAAUUUUAUUACUUACACCAUUUCUUCCAUGAGAAACUAGACUCAAUAAGUUUUAAUUCUAUAUUUUAUUCAUACUCUAAUUCGAUUUUCAUAAUUUAUGGUGAUUUUUCAAAGUGAGCCUACUGUUGUUGUCCAAAACUAUUUUAGUACAAGAUGUUUAUUACCAUGUUUAUAACACCCUUAUUUUCUUUCUCUACACUAUUUCUCAUCCCUUUCUCUUAUUUUCUCUUCACUUACAUAUUAAGAACAUAGGACCAUAUAUACAAAAAAACUUUACACUAACAUCAUUUCCAUACUUUUUCAAUAAUAUCAAACUUAAAAAUAUACUAAAAUCUUGAUGUACUUACCUUGUCAUAUUGAUUUUAAUCUUUAACUUGAUUUUCUCUCUCCUCCAGCUUCUAUUUCUUGAAUCUAACUUGAUAUUAUAGCUCCCCAUAGUCUCCUUGUAAUCUUUCUCUCUUGAUGGAUAUGGAAAUUCUUUUGAUUUCUAGAUGAAAAUAGUGAAUUUUUGGUGAAAGGACUAAAUUGUAAAGAAAGCAAAACUUUCUUUCUUCUCUUCUCCUCUUAACGUGAAUUGCAUGGAAAAGAUGGUGGGUUGGUUCCUUUUCAUCUUUCUUUCCACAUAUAUAUACUAAAUAAUAAAAUAAUAAAAUAUCAUUUAAAAAUCAAAUUAAAAUACUAAUAAACUAAUAUUUAUUUGUUUAUUUAAUCUAAAAUAUCUCCAACAUCAUCAUUAUCUUCUAGAUUUCUCUCUCUUCUAAUUGACCAUUUUGCCCUUCAUGAUAUUUUAAAAUUCCAUCCUUGAGUCAUCACUUAAUUUCGUAAAAUUUCAAUUUAGUCCCUCAAAAUUCCUCACCUUUUUUCAAUUUAGUCCUAAUACAUCCAUUUUCCUUAGUUUCUAGAUCAUUCCACCCUUAAAAUAUUUACACCAUUGGUCCUUCAAUUUUUUCAUAUUUACACUUUAACCCCUCAAUUUUUGAGUAUUUACUCUUGGGCAACAAAAUUUUUACGAUUUAAUCCUUUCUUGAGGUAAUAUGUCAUAAUAUACUUCCCAAUGUUGACAUAACUCCAAAAUUCCCUUUUUUGUCGCUUUAUUUCCUUAUUUUUUUAUAUCAAAGAUAAUAUCUUACUGUAAAAAUUUUUUUGGGGGGUAUUACAUUUCUCUCCCCCUCAAAAUAAAUUUCGUCCUCGAAAUUUCCUUAUUUUCUUUUGAUCAUGAACUUAUUUUUUCUUUAAUUCUAUAGUUCAUUUUUUUUGCAUAUAUUUACUUAGCUUAUCAUUUGUGUCUAUUCUUUAUUCUUUCAUUUCACAAUUUAUUUUUAAUUUAAUAUUUCAAACAUGAAUCAGAGAUAAACUUUUACCUUGUAACUAAAAUUAUUUACCUUUUUACCUGAGGCCCAGUGGACUAAAUAGAACACGUAGGAUAUAUGAAAUUGAUACAGAAGUGCUCUGUUAUACAUCAUUAAACAGAGAGCACUAAAGUGUUAUACGGGAGCAUAAAUGUGCUAAUAAUUGGAGAGCACUAGCGUGCUAUUAAUCAGAGAGUGCGCUAAGGUUCCUUAAUGAUAUACUACUAAUAUCCUAAUAGUUCUAAUCUCAUCUACUUGGGCAAAUUAUAUCAUGCAUGCAUACGACUUUUACACUUUGCGCAUAAUGCUUUUACAUACUUUACAAUUUAAACCUUGUACCAAUGAUUCGUAUAUUUAUACCUUCUCUACCUUUAAUACAUGUAAUAUAUUUCAAAAUUCACUAAUAAUCCAUAUAUAUCAUGUACUUCAUAUAUCAUUUUUACAUAUUAUGCAAUUUAGUCAUCAGCGCAAUAUUUCUUGUAGCAAUAUGUUUUUCUUUUAAUGACACAUAUAACAUUCAUCAUCGACAUGUAUUAUAAAACAUUUAUUCAUACUUUCAUGAGUUCCAAUUCAUCCUAAUCAAUUUUUUUUACUCAUAUACUUGAGUAUCACUUUCAACAUUAUCAGAAUUAGCUCGGUUAGGAAAACAUCUCUGUUUAUAAGUAAAACAAUUCUCAUCAGACUCGAGAGAUAUCACACUAUCACAGGUUACAUAAUGGCAUGCAUUUCUAGACUUCACAUAAGCUACGUUUGGUCCAAGAACCGACUAAAUCGUAGCUCUGAUACCAAUAAAUGUAACACUCUUAACCCGAAUCCAUUCUGACAUUGUCUCACAAAAUUUAUUAUAUCUCAUAGUUUACAAUUCUAUUACUUACACCAUUUCUUCCAUGAGAAACUAGACUCAAUAAGCUUUAAUUCUAUAUUUUAUUCAUACUCUAAUUCGAUUUUCAUAAUUUAUGGUGAUUUUUCAAAGUGAGCCUACUGUUGCUGUCCAAAACUAUUUUAGUACAAGAUGUUUAUUACCAUGUUUAUAACACCCUUAUUUUCUUUCGCUACACUAUUUCUCAUCCCUUUCUCUUAUUUUCUGUUCACUAACGUAUUAAGAACAUAGGACCAUAUAUACAAAAACUUUACAUUAACAUCAUUUCCAUACUUUUUCAAUAAUAUCAAACUUAAAAAUAUACUAAAAUCUUGAUGUACUUACCUUGUCAUAUUGAUUUCAAUCUUUAACUUGAUUUUCUCUCUCCUCCAGCUUCUAUUUCUUGAAUCUAACUUGAUAUUAUAGCUCCCCAUAGUCUCCUUGUAAUCUUUCUCUCUUGAUGGAUAUGGAAAUUCUUUUGAUUUCUAGAUGAAAAUAGUGAAUUUUUGGUGGAAGGACUAAAUUGUAAAGAAAGCAAAACUUUCUUUCUUUUCUCCUCUUAACGUGAAUUGCAUGGAAAAGAUGGUAGGUUGGUUCCUUUUCAUCUUUCUUUCCACAUAUAUAUACUAAAUAAUAAAAUAAUAAAAUAUCAUUUAAAAAUCAAAUUAAAAUACUAAUAAACUAAUAUUUAUUUAUUUAUUUAAUCUAAAAUAUCUCCAACAUCAUCAUUAUCUUCUAGAUUUCUCUCUCUUCUAAUUGACCAUUUUGCCCUUCAUGAUAUUUUAAAAUUCCAUCCUUGAGUCAUCACUUAAUUUCGUAAAAUUGCAAUUUAGUCCCUCAAAAUUCUUCACCUUUUUUCAAUUUAGUCCUAAUACAUCCAUUUUCCUUAGUUUCUAUAUCAUCCCACCCUUAAAGUAUUUACACCAUUGGUCCUUCAACUUUUUCAUAUUUACACUUUAACCCCUCAAUUUUUGAGUAUUUACUCUUGGGCAACAAAAUUUUUACGAUUUAAUCAUUUCUUGAGGUAAUAUGUCAUAAUAUACUUCCCAAUGUUGACAUAACUCCAAAAUUUCCCUUUUUGUCGCUUUAUUUCCUUAUUUUUUUAUAUCAAAGAUAAUAUCUUAGUGUAAAAAAAAAUUUUUUGGGUAUUACAGGAACAGAGUGGUGUGUAGAGGCUGGAUUGGGUAGGAUUUCUAACUGCAUAUCUACACUAAUUAAUGAUUUUGUAUUGUUACUACAUCGAUUAAUGAUAUUACAUACUGUUUACUGCAUGACUGAUAUUUGUUGCUGUUAUGGGCCAAGGCCCCACUGAUACUAUUACUGAAAUUGGGCAAAUGCCCUAUUGAUUAUUGGUAUUGUGAUGGGCUCAAGCCCAAUCGUUUAAUGUUACGGGAAAGGGCUUAGGCCCACACUGAACUGGACUGUUACUAUAACAGGCUCAGGCCCAAACUGUAUUUAUCUAUUGUUUAAUUGACUACUUACUUGUUAGGGGAUUGCACACUGAGUUUUCGUAAACUCAACCCGUUGUUUAACUGUACAGGUAAUCCCUAGUUGUAGUAGGGUCAGUGCUGCGAGGGACUCGAUGAUGGCCACACAACUGCAUCAGCUUUUGUUUUUAGCCUUUGAUUUAUAAGAAACUGAAUUUGGGUAUUUUUAUGUAAAAAGGCCUCUUUAAAGUUAUAAACUUUAAAUUGGGGUUUUUAUUUAUUUAGUUUGAUAUAAACUACUAGUUGUAGAAAAAGACGGGUUUUCAAAAGGUAAAUGUUUUCAAAGUUUCAAAAGGUAAAUGUUUUCAAAGACACCACGUUUUCGCAACAUUUCUAAAAAAAAACUUCCGCAAUGAAUGAGAUUUUGGAAAAUUUAUAACGUUUUAAAAGUGAUUAGCUUUUAAUGAUGCAUGCUUGGAAAUGAACAACCCGUUUUGGAAUCAUAGUUUAACAGCAAAAUGAUUAAUUGAUUUUAAAGAUUUCAACGACAACAAGUUUUACGCUAAACACCUUAAAGUGACACCGCCAGAUUCAACCAUAACUCCUAGGCCGGGUUUGGGGUGUUACAAUGUGUUUCAACCCUAUUAUUAGAAACUGAUACCCUAUUAUUAGAAACUGAUAAUGGAAACACAACUUUUAAUUAGAAACCUCUAAUUUUAAAAUUCAAUAGGUAAAAGCAAGUUAUCGUUAAGUGCCUGUGAUACGCUAGUAAAACUCAUUCUAGAAAAAAAAGUUUAAUGGAAACAAUUGUUAUCCAUUGCGUAUAGAGGAUGAAUUUGAAUACUAUUAAUUAAGUUCAUUGUUUAUUGUUUAAAUGUCUAAAGUAAGGGAGACAUUAAAAGAACUCUACCUUUAUAAACAUAAGAAGUGGUGCCACUUCAACAAGUAAAGGUAGGGUCUCUCUUGUAAAUGUUUAUUAUGAACAAGAUAAGCACAUGAUCAUUUUAGUGCUAAAAGUGAACAACCUCUGAUAGAAAUAUAAACGAAUAUUAUGUAUAGUGUAUUUCAACUUCUAAUACUAGGAGUUGUGGUUCAAUCUUCGGACACCGACAACUUAUUAAAACUUUGAAAAGCAUCCGCUUAUUGAUGGUUCAUAUUGAGAGGUAUCAUCUUUAAUGCAUAAUAUUUGUUUGAGUGAAUGACCAUAAAGUAUGGUACCAACAUUUAAACUAAGGGUGAUUGUUAGUAGUUUAUAAUUUUGGCAGUAAAAAUAUUUUAUUAUGUAGAAAAGUCUAAUAAAUUAUAAUUAUUGGUCAAAUAGUUGUGUUGUAAAGACAAUUUUUGUAUGUAAAGUUGUCUUAUAAACUUUAUGUAAAGUUGUGUUGUAAAACAACAAAAUUAUAUGAAAAUGUAUCUUAUUAAAAGAUACAUCCAUAUGAAAGGGUAUCUCAUGAAAAGAUACACCUAUUAGAUGUCUAUAUAAAAGAUUUUUCUGUUAGUUAUUUAAAUUGUUUUGCUUGGAGUGUUGAGGGCUUUGUUGUAUCUUGAAGGUAUUUUAAAAUCUUAAAGAAAGUGCUCUACACACCUUAAAGUCAUUAUAUUUUAUAACAUUAUUUUAUUUUUCUAACUUUUAUUUUCCUAUUAUUUAUUUUUCUAACAGCUAGAAUAUAGGAAAAUUAUUAUGUUUCUAGCUAUAUAUUGAAUACAAGUAUGUUGGUGUUUAGAACUCGAACUUUGAUGGUUGAUCGAGAGAUUUGAAGCAGAAAGAAGAGACGGGAAGUUUUAAGUAGAAAAAUAAUUGAAGACUGGAAUAUAUAAUUGAUUUGCACCUCAACUAUUUAAAUACAAAAGUUCAAGCUAAAAAUAGAAAAAAAAAGUUCUAAAAAUCUGCUAAAAAUCUGGUAACAAAAUAGCAAACAAAUCAAAAAUCUAAUCUCCUAAAGUCAAGGAGAAUUAUUCAAACUUAGUAACAGAAAAAAUUUAAAUGGCAGCAAUCUUAAACACAUGAUCUUAACACUCCUCCUUGUUUAGAUGCUACAAACUCCAAGUUUCUUCCUGAAGCUUUCAAACUUGCUAAGUGGCAAUGGUUUGGUGAAGAUAUCUGCAAUUUGAUCUUCAGAUUUGUAGUAACAAAGAGACACAUCACCACUCUUUUAAACUUCUCGAACAAAAAAUAACUUGAUGUUAAAAUGCUUAGUCUUCCCAUGAAAGACUGGAUUGUUAGAGAUUGCAAUGGCAGCCUGGUUAUCAACUAGAAUCUUUGUGCUUUGCUUCUACUCCAUGUUUAGAUCAACAAGAAUCUUCCUUAACCAGAGAGCUUGGUUAACUGUUGCUGUUGCAGCCAUAAAUUCUGCCUCAACAGUGGAUUGAGCUACAGUUUCUUGCUUCUUCGAGCUCCAAGAGAACAUGCCUGAUCCAAGGCAAAAACAAUAACCAGAGGUACUCUUCAUAUCAUCAGUUAAGCCACCCCAAUCACUGUUAGAGAAACCAAUCAACUUCAAUUCCCUAUGCUUUAAAAACUUUACUCCAUAAUUCCAGGUCCCCUUGAUGUAUCUGAUAACUCUUUUUGCAGCUCUCAUGUGAGUCUCAUUGGGACAAUGCAUGAAUCUGGAGAGAAUACUUACAGCAUUCAAGAUGUCGAGUCUGGUUGUUGUUAAGUACAUUAGACAACCUACCAAACUCCUGAACUCAGCUUCAAUGACUUUGGCAGAACCAUCAUCUUUGAUUAGCUUCUCUUUUUGAUUCAUAGGAGUACUCAUUGCUUUGCAAUCUUCCAUAUGGAAUUUUCUAAGUAUCUCCUUUGCAUACUUUCUUUGACAGAUGAACACUUCAUCUUGGCUUUAUUUGAUCUCAAUGCCAAGGAAAUAAGACAUCAGAUCAAGGUCUGUCAUUUCGAAGACAUUAUGCAUUUCCAAUUUAAACUGAUUAACUUGAUCGAUAUUGCUCCUUGUAAUCAAUAAGUACAAAUAAGCAAGCUUUUUCCUUUGAUUUCCUUAUCUUCUUUUCUUUUUGUGCUUUAAUCUGUGCCACAGUAGGAUUUGCUGGAAGAGGUGGGACCUCGUAAUCCUCUUCUACAGGUUCCCAAAGAUCCAAAGCCUCUAUGUAAGUCUCCAUGCGAACUGCCUACAUCUGGUAAUUGUCUCCAUCGAAGACUGGUGGUGCAGCAACUGAAAAACUGGACCCUCCUUCCAUAUUAACACGCAAAUAACCUAACAAAUCCCUCAAGAAAAUAGCUCUGAUACCAAUUUGUUGGUGUUUAGAACUCGAACUUUGAUGGUUGAUCGAGAGAUUUGAAGCAGAAAGAAGAGACGGGAAGUUUUAAGUAGAAAAAUAAUUGAAGACUGGAAUAUAUAAUUGAUUUGCACCUCAACUAUUUAAAUACAAAAGUUCAAGCUAAAAAUAGAAAAAAAAUGUUUUAAAAAUCUGCUAAAAAUCUGGUAACAAAAUAGCAAACAAAUAAAAAAUCUAAUCUCCUAAAAUCAAGAAGAAUUAUUCAAACUUAGUAACAGAAAAAAUUUAAAUGGCAGCAAUCUUAAACCCAUGAUCUUAACAAAGUACUACUUGGAAGCCAACACCCACAAACAUGAUAAAAGUUAAUUUUGAUGAGAGUUUUGACAUGGAAGCAAGAAAUGAGGAAGAGGGUAGUUAUGCAGCAUUGUGAUGAUUUUUUAGUCUGACUAUGCAACCAUCCAAUUUAGGGUGCAUUCUCCAUUGUGGUGAAAAAGCACUUAAAGAACAUUUGGUUUUUGCACUUAAAAUGUGAUGGAAAAAUGUUUUUCCACCCAAAUACAAAAACUAGGAUAUAAAUGUUUUUGACUUUUAGCUUUUAUGUUUGGAAGUGAAAAUUAUCAAAAUAUCAUUAUUUAUAUUAACUAUUUAAAUGGUAUAUAAAAAUUAGAUUAAUUUAUAUUUUAUAUAUCAUUAUAUUAAAUUAUUUAAAUAUUAUUUAUUAUUAUAUAUUUUAAUAAUUUAUAUAUCAUCUAUUUUACAAAUAAUUUAUAUUAAUUACUUAAAAAAUAUUUGGAACUUAUAUUUCAUGUAUCAUUAUAUUAAAUUAUUUAAAUAUCACAUAAUUUAACUAAUUUUUUACUUUCCACUAUCAUGUCUAAAGAAAAGGAUAUUUUAACUUUUAACAAGAAUUUUUUGUAGCAAUGGAGAACACCAAAAAUUAAUAAACACACUUUUUCAUAGUAAUUUUCAACCACACUUUUCAACCGCAACCCUAAUGAAGAAUUAAUCCUUACUAAAGUUACCGAAGCACUAGCUUCCACCGUAGCCAUUGAAAUGGCGCUCCAAUUGGGAUUGCAACACAUUAUUAUUAAAGGAGAUGCUCUCCAAGUGGUUUCGGAGUUGAAGGAAGACAAAGGAGACCUACCAACAACCGGACCUUGAUAGCAAAGAGUUGAAUACUUGCUAAACAGGUUCAGCAAUGUAGGUUUCAACACAGGAAGAGGCAUGCUAAUGAGGUGGCACAUCAUCUGACCAAACAGGGCCUUAAUUGUUUUCCAUCUUUUGUUCAUAUGUUUGUUUUGAAAAGGUAAAACAAAUCCUCACCUAUUGAUGUUAGAACGGUUGAAUUGCUAAAAGCAUGCUGCAUGCAUAACCAUGCUUUAGGUUAGGCUUCAAAUUAAAUAAAUUUUAAAUUAUUUUUAUUUAAAUUUAAUUAUAAAAAUAAAUUAAUAUCAAUAGAAAAUUAUAUAAAAUUUUAAGAUAUUUUAUUUUUCAAUAAUAAAACGAAUCAUUCACCAAACCUAAUUCUUCAAUUUCUUUUUAAUUAGAUCACAACUCAAGCCAAGCUAACCAAUAAACACCCAAAAUCUACCAUCAUUUUCAUUUUCAUUUUUUUUUCUUUUGUGACAAAGUAGACAGAAGAUUCGGUUUGGAUAAGCUCUACGUUAUUAAGUCAAAAGCUGAAGUAAUUUUAAUCAUAAAUUGUUUUAUUUGUCUAUAAUGCAAAACAAUGACCCAGUUAGUACAAUAAAGCUUUAACUUUGUGGAACAUUUCAGUCCAAAAAAAAAAAAAAAAAGAAUUGUGGAAAUUUUAGAGCAGUUGACCAUUUCUUCGGAAUUAGUUUUCUCACUUCUUGUCCAUAUUCCAUGUAUAUUAUUUCAAGAAAUUAGGUUUAGAAAUUUGCAUAAUUCAACCAUUGAACUAAUAAAUAUUAAACAAAAAUUGGGUGGCAAAAAAAAUCUUAUUAAAAUCAUAUACUAUUACUAAAAUUUAUGAUUAAAUUAGUGUCACGAGUUAACGGGACAUUAACAAAUUAUAUUAUUUGAGGGUAUUUUAAUCUUUUUAUUAAAAAAGAUGAUGUCUCAAAUUAACUCACAAUCUAAUCUAAUUUUUCAUUUUAAUAUUGUAAAUAUUUCAUGUUUUAUUAUUAAUUUGUUUCAAAUUAUACAUUUCAUUAUUUAUUUUAUGUUAUUUUUAAACACAUCUGUAUUCUAAGUACCUAAUUUUCACUUAUGGGUAUCAGAGGCGAAUCUAGGGAGGCUGAUAGGGGUCUCGGUCCCCUUAAAAUAGAAAAUUAUUAUUUAAGCCAUUUAGAAAAUUUUAAAAUUUUAAAUUAGUAAAUGUAAAAUUACACUUUGACCCCUCUAAAAUUAUAAAAAUUUGAUUUAAUCCUUUAAAAAUUAUAAAGAUAUAAACUAUUAAAAAUAAAAAUUUCAUUUCGGCCCUGCCUAAAAAAUUUUUUUGACUUCACCCCUAAAGUAUGAUAGAGUUUCUAGUAUGAAUAAUUUUCUUUGGAAGUGUUAAACAAACAAAGGAGUUAAGUAAACAGUAGUUUUCAUACAGAAAUAUUCGGCGUUGAUGUUUCCCUUUCGAAUAAUUAAAUUAAGACUUAGGAAAAGGGAAAACAAUGAAAAAGAAACUAAAAUUGAGCUUAAUUUAUGGAGUUGGGUUAAAAUUUUAAUAUUUAAAUAUAAAAAUUCUAAUAAUUUGAUCUGGUCCGUUUCAUCUAGCAGACUAAUAAUAAAUCUUAAAACAUAUUAUAUUUUAAUUUAAAUAAAACCAAAACUAAUACACUUGACCUACAUCUACAUGUGAUCUAUGCUUCAUUUAAAUUAGUCUAAAUUAGACGAGAUCUUGAUUAGGAGUCAUUUAUUUAUAUUAUAAGUCCCUGAAACAUGCAAAACUUACAUUUAAAAAUUAAUAUUUUUACGUUGUUGUUAGAAUAUAGGGUUUGUUAAUGUUUUCGUGUGAAGUCAGCUGUUGACAUUACCAAUCAGAUAAUGAAAAGGAAACAUGGCAAUUAUUCCAUCCUAAUUGUCACCAAAUUAAGUUAAUCCAAAAAUUACCAAACGUUUAGUACUUCAAUGGUAGAGUCAGCUCUUUCUUCUAGUCUAUCAAAAAAAGUCAAUUUAACCCCUAACUCUUGGAUGGAAAAGUUUUUGCUAUGAACUUGUUGAAGUGAAUCUCAUGUGAUAUAAACGCAUCGCAAUCUCCGUGUGUAACUAAAAAUAUUUGAGAGAUUGAAUAAUUUAAAGGGGAAAAAAAAAGAAUUUACUCCCUCCACUAACAAAUUACUCUUGCCAACGUAUGUAUGAAAGUAAACACCUUUAAUUAAUCAACAAAUGCUAAAGUUCGAGGUUUAGAAUUAAUUAAAUACCAAUAUAAAUAGUUAAUUACUUUUUUGAAAUAAGGAUAAAUCAGUUUGUGAGGUUUGAAUUUUUUGUAUCUUAACAAUUGUUCUGACUUUAGAGUUUGAAGGUUUUUUUUUUAUCCAAAUUAACCUAUGAACUUAGUAAUUUGUCUCUCAUUAAGGUUUAAAUUUUUUAUUUAUCUAAGUUAAUUCUUAAAAAUCUUGAAAUUCGAGAAUAAUUGUCAAGUUAAAAAAAUUUAGAUUUCAAUAUGAGAAUAAUCUACUAGUUCGUAACCUUAAUAUAAAAACAAUUGUUAAGUUGAAAACUUAAUUUAAAAACAAAUUCAAACCCUUCUUAAGUUUACGAUUUAACCCUUUGAAAUAUUGCGUUAACUAGUAAGAGUAAGAAUUAUUUUGUGUUGAUGAUUAAAUAAAUAUUUAAGUGGAGAUCAAGUUUUACCUCAUUUGUCAAUUGUCAGGUGAAGAAUAUAUACCCCUAAAGGCCUAUCAAAAACGGACCUAUCUCUAUCUAUAUAUCUUAACUAAUUUACUAUUCAUUUUUAAUGAAAAUCAAUAAAUCAAUGAAAACGUUAUAAAAAGAAAACUACGUGAAUAAAUUAUAUGUGUAAAAUUGAAAUAUUUCUUAUUUUAGUACAAUGGUAAGGAACAUUACAUUUUUAAGGAAAUGAUGUCAGGUUCAAACCUUAAAGAUAAUAUUCUUCUUCUUGAGAAGAACAAUCCCAAACUCCAAAAUGAACCCUUAUGAAUUAUAUAAAAAAAUUUUGAAAUAUUUCUAUAAAAUAUCAUUAAAGUUUUUUAUUUAAAAAAUGUUAUGGGUAUACUUUUACCUCUUGUAAAAAAGUCUUUCAUUUCUCAAUUCUUAUGGCAUAGUAAAUUUAUCAUUAAUUUUCAUCUUUAGGUAAAAAAAAUGGUUAUUAUUUGUGUAUUAAAUAAUUGUUAGGAUAAAUUUUAAAAUUGUAUAUGAAUUUUGGUUUAAUGUUAAUUAUAUACAUUAAUUUUAAUUUUAUGUAAUUUUAUAAAUGAAAUUUUAAUUUGAUCCAAUUCUAACAAAUUAUUAACACAGUUAUUGAUAUAACAUCAUUUUAUGUUUAUAUGCUAUAUACAGAAAUAAUUAUGUUUAUUCAAUAUAAAAAUAAAUUGAUGUAUUUAUUUCUUUAAACAUAUAUGAUUGAAUCAAAAUUAAAACAUCGUGUAUAUAUUUGAACCACAAUUAAAAUUUUACAUAUAAAAUUACAUAAAAUUACAAUUUAUAUACGUAAUAAACUAAAAUUCAUAUAUAAUUUUAAGAUUUAUGUCCACAAUUCUCUAAAGCUAAACGGUGAUGAUUACCAUGGAAAUUCAAUGUACUUAACUAAUUGGUUGAUAGGAACAGGCAUGAUGAAAUCCAUGAUGGGAAGAGAGAGAAUUCAAAAACUGGAAUGCCCCCAUUAAUCCAUGCAAAUAAACUUUUUCGGUAUUACAUCAUAAUUCAUUUAAUUUUAUCAUCAUCUCUAUGCCAUAACCAUGUUUAAAGUAAAAUACUUAUAUAAAUUGAGACAUUAAUAGUUUGUAUUAUAUAAAUUAUGACAUCCAUAUAUCCAUAUUAUAAUUUUUAUGAAAAAUUAGAGCUGGCAGAUAAAAAAUGGCUUACUGAUCAAUGAAAAAUAAACUUUAUUUCUUGUAAAUUGACUUAUCCUUUUAAAAAGUAUAAAUAUUUUUUUAAAAUUCAUUUAUGAGUAAUUUUAUUAUUAUAAAAAUUAAUUUUGCAAAGUCUAAUAUUAUUAUAUUAAUAAUUUUAUUUUAAAACUAUUUAAAAAUACUAAUAUCAAAUAUUAUAAUGUUGAAUCCUAGUAACAUACAUAUUAAAUUAUUUAAAUUAUGUAAUAUUGCAAUUUUAUUUUAAUACUAAAUUUUAACAACAAUAAUUUUAAAUUUUAGAUCAUAUUUUUAAUAUAUUAUUGAAAAAUAUUUAUAUUAAUAUUUUAAUAAUAAAUAUAUAUAUUAAAAUUUAUAAAUAUUUAAUAAUAAAUGUUUUAUAGUAUAAAAUAUGAAUAUUUUAAUUAUAUAGAUAUGAGCAUUUGUUUAAAUCAUGUUUAGUUUCAUUUAUCUCCCAACUAUAAUGUGUUAUUAUACACCGUCAUAUAUAUAAUAUAUGUAAUUUAAGCAUUGUUUAUUAUUAAAUUUAUAUAUGAUAUUAAUUAUUAUAAAAUAUUAUCUUAUUAUAAAAGAAAUUCUAAUUAUCAAAAAGAAAUGUUACUUUAAUAUUUUGUAACAAGUAUAUUUAUGUUGGGCUUGUUUCAAUAAUAACUUUAAAAUGAUUUUAGAAAAAAAAUUGUCAAAUAAUAAAAAAAUAUUUUAAGCAAAAUAAUUCAAACACAAAAAACUAUCAACUUUUCCAUAAAAUCAAUCCAAUUUUAAGAAAACAUUUUGUGAAAAUUGUUUUAGGUAAAACAAAAGGAACCUAUAUUUUAUAUAGUAUUUGAAAAGUUGUUGUAUCUAGAAUUAUUAUCUUAAAUAUUUUUUUAGGUCUAAUUUUAAAUUUCAUCCCUUUAUGAAAAUUGAGAAGUUAAAUUUUCUAUUUUACUUUAUCAGUCUGUGCUUGAUUGUUUAUUAAUUUGUCGUGUAUAAAUGGUUAAAUUAUUGAUUUUUGUUAAUUACUAGCAUGUAAAUUGUCAAACUACUUGUUCUCAAGGGAACGGUAAAGUUUAAUAGUAUUAUCAAUUUAGAACAAUUUUUGAGUUUUUUCUUUUAUUUUUCAUGUUCGAGUCCAUAAUUACUCCUUCUAAUAAUGUCGUCUUUAAAGUUUGAGUUCGAAUUCAAAUUCUCUUUUUGGAAGUACAAUAUGCCUUAUAAUUAUACCUAAUACUUUUGAUUUUUGUAAAAUAUAAGAAUCAAAAUUGUGUAGUAGGAUUAAUUUCUAGAUUUUUUAAAUUUAAAAUUUAUAAUAUUAUCAAUCGCAUCACACACAAAACCAAAGAACAAGAGAAUCUAAAAAACACGUGGACCAUUAAUUUAGGAAUGGACAUUAUAUUUUAUUAGUGGAAUAAACUCAUGCAAAAUGGUUGGAAAACACAUACAGGAUUAUAUAUACUAAUCAUUUUUAUUAUUAAGCAGAAUCGGAAAUAAAUAAAUACGAGCGAAACCACUGAAUAAUACAGCAUUGAAAUGCAAUUUGUCUACAUCAUUAUUGUUCUUCACUUCAAACGCGGAGACUAGUCUAGGCUCCCAAUCUUUUGCUUUAUCUCUCUAGAUAUAUCCUUUUCAAACUAUCUUUUUGUAGCUUUAUUUGCAUCACAGCAUUAUCUUUUCCUGCAAACAACUGUUCAAUGAUUAAAACAUGCAAAACAUUCUGAAAUAAUGCACCCUUACCAGAUGACAAAAAAAAAAAAAGAUUCUAAUGUAUCUUACCUUGGAUUGGAGCACGGUCAAAGCCGUGGCUUAGUAGUGGUGAGGAGGAGGGGGUGAAGCGUAGACAUAAUGGGGUGGUGGUGGUGGAGGAGACUUGUAUUUGUAAACUGGAGGAGGAGGUGGUGGAGACUUGUACUUGUAAGGGUGCUUGGGGGGUGAUGGUGGGGGUGGUGGGGGUGACUUGUACUUGUAGGGGUGCUUGGGUGGUGACGGUGGGGGUGGGGACUUGUACUUGUAAGGAUGCUUGGGGGGUGAUGGUGGUGGUGGUGGAGGUGACUUGUACUUGUAGGGGUGCUUGGGUGGUGACGGUGGGGGUGGGGACUUGUACUUGUAAGGGUGCUUGGGUGGUGACGGUGGUGGUGGUGGGGGGGACUUGUACUUGUAGGGAUGCUUUGGUGGGGAUGGUGGUGGUGGUGGUGGGGACUUGUACUUGUAGGGAUGCUUAGGUGGUGAUGGUGGUGGUGGUGGAGACUUGUAUUUGUAAGGAUGCUUUGGUGGUGAUGGUGGUGGAGGUGGUGGGGACUUGUACUUGUAAGGGUGCUUGGGUGGUGAUGGAGGUGGAGGUGGUGGAGACUUAUACUUGUAAACUGGAGGUGGUGGGGGUGGAGACUUGUACUUGUAAGGGUGCUUGGGUGGUGACGGAGGUGGAGGUGGUGGAGACUUAUACUUGUAAACUGGAGGUGGUGGGGGUGGAGACUUGUACUUGUAAGGGUGCUUGGGUGGUGAUGGUGGGGGUGGGGGUGGCGACUUGUACUUGUAGGGGUGUUUAGGUGGUGAUGGUGGUGGUGGUGGUGGUGGUGGGGACUUGUACUUGUAAGGAUGCUUGGGUGGUGAUGGUGGUGGAGGAGACUUGUACUUGUAAGGAUGCUUGGGUGGUGAUGGUGGUGGAGGUGGUGGAGACUUAUACUUGUAAACAGGAGUUGGUGGGGGAGGAGAUUUGUACUUGUAAGGUUUCUUGUGUGGUGGUGGUGGUGGAGGAGAGUAGAUCGGAGGAG